UAGCAAUGUAGUAGAAGAGAGAGACCAAGGUCAGGUCAUGAACAAGAUAGGAGAAUGAGCGGAGGAGUGAUCUCUUAAAGCAGUGAGGUGGAAUGGCUUUCCUGAUAUCACUGAUGGUGAAGGGAGGCUUCGAGUAUGGGGCUCUAGCGAUGAGGUUGUUGGAGCUGACGUGCAGCCUUCGGCUCCCAUUGUUGAUACAGUGCCUGUGUGCUUCAUAACCGAAAACGGACAAUGUGGAUAAUUAUAUAGCAGAGAAGCUUAAAAGGAAUGAUUACAUACUUUUUACAAAUAGUCUUUGCUUGAAAUGGAAGUGUAAUUGAUACAGUUUUGAACUAAUUAUUACAAUCAAAGUCCCGUGUAUUCAUAAGCAGAUCACUUCAAUUCUCUUUGUGCAAACGAAUAUCAAGACGAUUAGUUAUUAGAUAGAUUCAUGGGGAUAUGAUCAAGGAAACCUAGUAACCACGUAGAUUUAUUGAAAGUUUUAGGGAAAAUUUUCACGUGACUAAAAGAAUAGAUUCUGAGACAGAGUAUAGUGUUUAAUCAGGAUAUUAAUCCUUUAUUUUAUUUUGAUCUUUGUAACUUCUCUGUUCCUUAUCUAUGCCACCACCCCCCAAACCAUAAAAAAAAAAAAAUCUUUAAGUGAGAACAUAUUCCAAUCUGUGUAGAUACUUAGAUCAGUACGUGGAAAGAAUUCGUUGAUUGUUGUUUGACAAGUACAGGAAAGGGUGAGUAUUGAUGCAACAUUCAAAAAUAUCAGAAUUGAGUUCUUUAAUGCAUGUGCACUAAUUCACAACGCAUAUACACCAGAAUUUAGUUAAUGGUUGGAAUUCAUCUUCUGGUGCACUCAAAGUAUAAAUAUGUUCGAAAGUUUCAGUUUUAUACUGAAUGUUUGAAAAGUAUUUGAAUGUAUCAUUCUCAGUGUGUGAGCUAUUAAAAAGUAUUCUAACGUAUCACUUCUAUGUAUUUAAUCAGUUUUGGGGAUUCAAACACUUAGAUUUGGAUGUUUAUCCACUUCGUAAGACUGCAAGGAACCUUGGCGCUUUUCCUAAUUAUAUCCCAAUGUGUGAGCCUUACUAAGUUUCCUAUUUAGUAAUUUUAAUAAAAGUCAUUUGUGAGGUUAUAUAUUUUUAUUUUUUUAACCCUUCCUUCACGGCGCCGCCCCCGGCCUCUCCUGACCAGCAGGCGGGGGCAAAGUCCUUUGGCCAUCAGCCCCCUGGAGAUUAUACAAGCAGGCACAGUAUUAUUUCAAAUAAUUGGGAUUGACAAUUCUUGAGGAGGGUGGCCCAACAUGAUUGGUUAUUUUUGUUACUGUCAUGUCAUGCCUACAAAUCACCACUGGUAAGAGUGUUAUUUAAGUGGACACAAUUAAUCCAUGAAUUGAUUAUAGCCAAAAAAAAAAAAAAAUAGUCAUGGGUAAAAGAAAUCUGUGGAACUUUUGAUAGUCUAUAUCAGAAAGUGGUCUUAUUUCUUGGGGAGUAGGUUUUGCAGGAACAAACAACGCUACUUCUUUGUUUCUCACUAAAAAUUGCAUUGCCAUUCCUGUUUUUUCUUUCUAGCCAACUGGUAAGUGGGUUUUGUGGGCUGACCACUGGGGCCGGGGAGUUUCAAAAUAAUUGAAACUUUUGUAGGUUUGGUACCUGCUCAGUCUUGUCAUGUCUUCUCAUAUUCAUACAAUUUUCGAGUGACAGAAGGAAAAUGUGCGCUCUGAAUCCUCAUCCCAUUUCCGAUUUCAGUCUCUGUCUUGCCUUUAUUUGUCAUGCCUAAGUUUAUUACCCGGUAUAUCCAUUAUAUUCCAAAAUAGAGUUGCAAGAAAAAUUAAACAUGAUAAAAAAAAUCAAGAUUGAGAUUAAAACAAAAAAUUGAACAAUAGAAAAGUGGGGUAACAACUGAAACCAGAAAUGAGAUAGAGGAUUCAAAAAUAGAAAAUGGCGCCUACCUAUUAAUAGUUCUACAUGAGGACUAUGUGCCAAGAAUUUCAGCCUAUAGCACGGGACUAGGCAACAGAACCUAACAGUAUUGAUAAUUCACGAUCAUGGCUGGCUGAAAUAUUUACCAUUAAACGCGUUUUCAUGUAAUCUUACAAAUAGUAUAUAUGUUUUGGCGCGAUUAAAGUGUAUAUGCCCUAAAAUCAAUCAACUUCUAAAGUUUAAUACGCACUUGAAUUAUUUAUGUUAUAAUAAAUUACAUCUUUAUCAUAUUGAUUGCAAAUAUAUUUAUAUUUGCAUGAUAAACCUCUUAAAAUAAACCUGUCGAUGAAAUCAUAAAAUUUAUGAUGGUGAGAUUCAUUCGAUUAUAAAUAAAGUUUAUUUUUAAAUAUUUCUAGUUAAAGUAUUACCAAGAAAGGGUAUUGUUAAUACAAUUAGACUAGCAUAUACUAUACCACUUCUAUAAGAAAAGUAGUAUACCUCAUCUACUAUGGUGUGCGAGACACCUAAACUAGUAUAUGGAUGCUUGAUACAAUGAUUAAUUUUACUAAAUUGAUCCGUAUAGAGAUAUUCUUUAAGUGGCAAAGGAUUAAUUUUUAAGUAACGUUUGUGUAAGUGAUCUGACGUGCGCAGGGUAUACAUAUCAAUUUUGCCUCAUUCUAAUCAAGUUUUACAUUUAUAAACUCCUAAAUACCCCACACGCGAUUUAUCGCAAGUAUACGAAUCGUGAGCGAGUAUAGGGUAUUAAGGGUCGAUCCCACAAGGAAGAUUGCAAUUACCGGUACUACUAAAGCUUCUCUAUUAUUUAGACUAUCAAUGAAUUAUAACAAAUUAAACCUACUGAAAUUAUACAAAAUAACAAAUGAAAGCUCCUUGGGUUGUGGUAUCCCUAACUACUCAUGCAAGUGCUAUAUUUGGAUCAUUGAAUACUACAUCUAGGCUAAUUAUGGUGUAAUUUCCUUAUGCAUUUGAAUCCUACUUUCGUAUUGAAUCAAUUAUACUCAUAACUAAUCCAUACCUAUUUUCAUGGUUAUGAAAUUAGCUACAAGUUCAUUUCUUCAAUGAAAUUACAUGAAAUGAAUCACUAAAAACCACAUAAGUGCACCUCUACUUUCGUGAGUGUACUCCCUAUGUUUAGCACUUCUUGAACUAGUGUUAAAUCUCAAUUUUCAUUGCAGAAACAACACCUUAGAUAAUCACAAUUAAUGGUACCAGAUUAAUCAUGAUUUCAAGAGCUAAAGUGCUAAAUAACUUGCUCAAAUCAUAGCAGUCAAAUAACCAAAUAAUAAACACUAACAAUUAUAGAAAGUUCAACCAAACCCAAGGUAUAAACUUUAGAAACACAUAUUGAACACAAAAUCCAGAACUUGUAUAUUAACUAAAUUUGGAAUCAAAUACAAAAGAUAAAGAGUUUGGAAGGAAUACAACCCUUGUCACAUGAGCUUUCUUCCUUGUCUUCUUCAUCCUCCAUCUUCAUCCUAAUCUAGAUAAUUAACAAGAAUGGAAAAGCUACACUACUCUAUACUAAGCUAAACUAACACUAGGGAGAUGAAAGAGCUACAUUUCUGCAACUUCAAGCUUCUCCCGUAUGUCUCUCUAUUUUUCUGCUAUGAACUCCCCAAUCCCUAUUUUUGCAAUGCAUUUGGCUAUUUAAUGAUGAAAGGUGGUCAAGAAAUGAGGAUUACAUCUCCCUUUUACAGCUGGGAAUGUUUCUCACAUGUCUAGCAUCCAAUGUGAGUUGGUGGAGGUGAAAUUGAGUUUUACGCGUACAGAGCAGCCUUUUCUGACCAGUGAUCCGAGCUGCUACAGUACCUCGGAUCCACUAACCCAGAAACAACCGAGGGUUCGGAUGAAUAGUGGAUCCGAGUGUGGAUCACUUGCUCUGUUUUUGGCCCAACUUCAACCAAUCUUUUCUUGAUGUUAGAGGCUGAACCAGCUCAUGUCUAAAACACGAAAGUUGUAGCCUUUUGAGUUAUCUUUCUAAUGCAUCAAGAAUCACCUCAUUUGGAUCUGUGUAGGCUGACAUAUGACUGAAAUACCCUUGCCUGCUCAUUGCCCUGUUCCAGUUUCGACCAGUAGAAAUUUGCUAUUGUAAUUCGGCAUUUUGACCUGGAAAACCUUCAAACUGGAUUUAGAUGUCUUCACCAAAGUUGUAGAUCUAUCUCUUAUCUUCAAAUGGGUUCAAGAAUCAUCCCAAUCUGAUCAUUGUAACUCAAGUUAUAGCCGAAAUACGAAAAUGUGUCAAAACUGUCAAAAUACACAAAAUCCAAGUAAAAAGUGAUAAAAACCUCAUUUAAUCACUUAAAAGCAUUUUUCACCAAUUAUAGCCAAAAUGAUUCAUAUUCUUCCAAUAAUAUAACCAAAGUGACUAAAAAUAAUAUAAAAUGUCAUACAAUUAUUACGUAAAUUAGUCACUUAUCAUGAUCCUUAGACUUAAGGUUAUCAUGGUAUUUUGAGUAUGGACAGAUACACUUUGUUUUUUAUAUGAUGCUCAUAUCAUUAACAAAUGGGUAUGUACUUGAAGUAUGAAAAGGUAGUGAAUAACGAAUAACCUAUAAAGAUUUACCAUUUCUUAUAAAAAGAGAAGGUAUCUCAUGUCUGACUGCUUGUAAAGUAUAACUCGGAAUUCUUAGCGUUAAGUGGAAGAUUCUUAGAGUGUGUUUCUAAGUACUUCUUCAUUGGAGUUAUAAUUUGGUACAAGAAAUAAGCAUUAAUCAAAUCAUGGAAUGGGCAUAAAUUAUUCCAAGAUUAAUGUGAAAUAAAUGUGGUAAAAAGAUAUUAAUUAUAUAGUAAAUAUUUACUGAAAGGUGAAGUCAUCCACUUGACUUUUCUCAUUACUUGGGUGGCCAUGAUACAUUGUUAGAUGCCAAUCUUGAUCUAUAAGUAUGAGUUGAUUGAUUAAUGGAAUGGGCAUACCUUAUUCCAAGAUUAAUGUGAAAUAAGUGUAGUAAAAGGAUAUUAAUUACAUGGUAAUUGUCCACUAAAAGGUAAAGUCAUCCACUUAACUUUUCUCAUUACUUGGGUGGACAUGAUGCAUUGUUAGAUGCUAAUCUUAAUCUAUAAGUAUGAGCUGAUUGAUUAGUGGAAUCAAUAGUGAAUUAAAAGAAAUUUUAAUUUAUCUAAUUAUGGGACAGAGUAUAGUAUUUAAUCAUGAUAUUAAUCCUUUCUUUUAUUUUGAUCUUUGAAACUUCUCUGUUCCUUAUAUAUUCCACCACCCCCCUAAACCCAAAAAAAAAAAAAAGAACUUUAACGUAGAUGUGCAAUCCUAUCCCUAGGUGCCGCUAAAGUUCUCCUCAAUCUUCUAUCUUAAAACUUCUUUUGCGCAUCUGAUCCUCAACCCCCUUAAGGAGUCUUCUUACUGGAUCUCACCCUAAAAAUUUGACACAGGUAACAACUCAUGUGAUUUUAUUAACUCAAUCCUAUCCUGAAACCUAUUUGGCCAUUCCCUUCUCUUGAAUAUUAUGAAACCCAGUCAAUGUAUCAAUGAUCCAACCAACGAGAAAUCACAUCAAACAAAAAUCUAUAAACCAUAAAUCCAUAAUUAGAAUUAUUCUCAACUCUCUCAACAUCUGAUGUUUUCCAUUACUCUUUACACCUUUUGUUUUAUAUUUGAAUAUCUGUGAUUGACUUGGAAUUCCAGAAAAUUCACUCUCAAAUAAUUGUGAUUUAUUUGACUUGGAAUUCUAAAAAAUCACUACUCCUAUAAUGAAAAAAAAAAUUGUUUGCAGAUAUCAAAUUUUUAGGGUGAGGCCCGAUAAGGAGCUCCUUCACGGGGCUGAGGAUCAUACGCGCUUCUUCUGGUGCAAAGACUGUCAUCCAUGAAGGGCCAUUUUAAGGAGCCUUCUUCCAUCAAAAACUAAAGGACCAUAUAUACCUAGAGGGGUCAGGGACUACCAAUAUUAAGGCUGUGAGAUAAUGUAGCAGGAACUCCACUGAUCAUGUUUGUUAUGGGCAUCUAAGAAGUCAACUGCACAUCAAGGGAUAUACUACAAGAAUAGACCUAACUGAAGUUUUUCUUUCCUAUGGGACAAAUCUUAGCACAUCAAAGACUAAGCAAUGAGCAUACACUUCAAAUUCUUUUCAUUUUAUCCUGGAGAAAAACAAGCUCAUUCUUUCUAGCUCAUGACAGUGCAAAUGAGAAGAUUUCUAUUGUCUGGCCUAAUAAUUAUUGUGCAAUGAAAAUGCAAUAGAAGCAUAUUCUCCAUGGUGGCAGUGACCUAUGGCAACCAAGAUGUCCAAAGCAAUCCACUAAGCAAGCUUAUGCUUUCUGGUUGUUGCUUAACAAUCUCAUCCUAGAGCAAAGAAAAUACAUGUCAAAGUCUUGGAUGUUUUGGAGAAGUCUUUAGAUCGAUGACGCCCGUCAUACGUCAGCGUCAAGAAUAAAAAGUUUUCUUCUAUAAUUACUGUAUUUGAACAAAUGCAGAACGAGAAUAAUUGCCCUUUGGAUAGGUGCAUGAUGACCUCACGUUUCGGAUGAAUUUUAUUUGAUGUGACCAUGAUGACAUAUCCAUAAGAAAAACAAAUAAAAUUAGGAUUAAUCUUUCUUACACUAACAGUGUAUACACUAUUAGCGUUGGAUGAAUGAUAACACAAACUUUGAAUUUGAAAUUUAAUUUUUGCACACAUGUCAUGAAUCAAAUGAUGAUAGUAAUAUACUGUCAGCGUAUAUAAGAUUUAUUCAUAAAAUUAAGGGUCUUCGUCAAAUAUUAAAAACCAAUUUUAAUACCAUAUAGAGUUCAUGCAAGAACUCAACGAAGAGUUAAAUAAUUUACAAAAAUUUAAUACGAUGACUAAUGAUACAAUCAAUUCUAACAUCAAAUCAGAUAGAGAACCGGUGCAGGCUGCCUGCAGUGACUAUAAAAGUCAAAAUCUUUAACUUACUUGAACUUCACACUCUUUAAUCCGAAACAACUCGUUCAUCUAUGCAAGUAUUCUAUCCUUCAUAAUUUCACUUGGAAUUUGGACCAUUAAGUGAGAACAUAUUCCAAUCUGUGCGGAUACCUUAGCGCACAAAGUGGAAAGAAUUCGUUGAUUGUUGUUUGAAAAGUACAGGAAAGGGUGAGUAUUGAUGCAACAUUCAAAAAUAUCAGAAUUAAAUUCUUUAAUGCAUGUGCACUAAUUCAAAACGCACAUAAAACAGAAUUUAGUUAAUUGGAAUUCAUCUUCUUAUGCACUCAAAGUAUAAAUAUGUUUGAAAUUUUCAAUUUUAUAUUGAAUGUUUUAACUACUAAAAAGUAUUUGAAUGUAUCCGUCUCAGUGUGUGAGUGUGACGGCCCCACCUCACCCUAAGGCGAACCAAAGGGUUCGGCGGACCGCCUGCCCAGCUCUCGCCAGGACUACGAAGUUGAAAUCACACAAACCCGAUAUAGCGCACAAACAAAUCCCCAAGAGAACAAUCAAUCGAAGACUACUAAGUUGAAAAACAUGAGUUCUACACCGUAAGGUACCAUGGUGCUUCGAUUAAACGCCUCAACGGAAACGAGAAUGAAGACGAAAAUGCAAAUGGAAAGUGGACACAUCACAAUCCGGCCAAGAUACGGCCGGAUUUGGUGAAUAGUUCCCGCCAUAAUUUUCUUUCCUUGUUCCAAUGCCGCGCUCGUCCGAUCGUCCAAUAGUUACAAGUAGCAUCUCAACAAACGCAAAGGUACCAACUCAAAUGAAUACACUUAAUGUACAUGAUAAAACACUUAUAUACAUACAUUGAAAACUUUACAAUUAAAAGCGUAAUACUUAAUUAAAAGACAAUUAGGUUUUGAUUACACAAGAGCUAACAAAAGAACGUUUACACUAGCUCAACCCUUUUCUCAAAAUCACGGUUCAAAGUGUGGUUCCCUAUAAGGAAAAUAAAGAUAACGGAAAGGGGGUGAGCUUAUGCUCAAUGAGGUACCAAAAUAAUAGCAAUUAAGAAUUAUGAAACUUCAUAUUCAAUUAGUCACAUAUGCAAAUCAAAGAAAGAAAUGAACAAACACCAUAGAUAGAAAGGAAACGGAUGGCUCUCAGGAGCCCAAAAUUUCCGGUUGCAGUACUUGAUCCAAACCCGUUAACUCUCCGUCAACGUAUGAAGAACAACCAUGUCCGUAGACCCCCACUUUACACUAAAUUUCAUCCACCAAACUUACCCCUUACCGGGCCCGAACACCUCAACAGAAACAGAAGUGGUAAUACUCGAGUAUACCGGAAUCAAGGGUUUCAAUACCCAAAGAUUCCUAGAAACAGACUACCGUGGUUCGUUAUCUAAUCGACAUGGCCCUUGCCGGCUCGAUUUGAGUAACUUAGCCAUAAGAUUUGAGCUCAGAGGUCACAGAAAGGUCGUUGGAUACAAGCCUCCAAAUGACGUCAGAACAGAUACAGAUACAGAUAACAGAUUCAACCUCACACAGUAAAUAGGCAUACAAACAGACAAGAGAACGAGUGUGAUAAAGUACACCCUCGUCUCAAACAGAAUAAACAGAUAGUACAGUCAUUCAAAUCACAGAUGGCAAGUACAGAAACCAAGUUAAGCAACAAUGAAGGGAGUGGUACACUCACCAGUUCAAGUAAAACAAAUUCAAACGUUCCCCCCCGAAGUAGCACUUCCUAAAAUGAUCAAAGUAAAACAAUUAUGAUUCCUAUGGGAACGAUAUUCACAAAUGAAACUCAACUAUGAGUCGUAUGCUUAACCAAACGAACUACGAAUGCAAGGGUGCAAAAGUGUGAUUUUGGAACGAAAAGGUAACGAGAGAACCUAAGGUUUGAACGACCCAAAAGCCCUUCAUUUCUACCAAAAAGGCAACUUAAACUUAAAGGGACCAAAUGGCCUAGAAAAUUGGACAGCAUCUCCCCUAAAUUUGCUUACUUUUCUAUCCUACAAUCAACACCAACUCACCUCAAAUCAACCACAAAUCUACAUACAAAUCAUAAACACACCUUUUGGCAUAACAACCACAAUUGAAGCUACACUUAUCGGAUUGAAACGAAUUUUAUAGCGUUUCGAAGCCAAGACAUAUAUCUACAUUUAUUAUGAAGACCUCCAAAGCUAAAUCAUGCAUUUUCAUGGUGAAAAAUAGAAAUCUCCACGAAAAUAGAAAUCUGUCCGCGAAACAGGGCUCAUGAGCAGUCAAGGGUAUUUCGAUCAUUUCAUAUGCUACAGUACUUAGAUCGAGCUGAAAUUUUGCAGGAAGCUAGAUAACACCAUUUUCUACAACUUUCAUGUUUUAACCUAAGCCUGAUUCAGCCUCUAACAUCCACAAAUAAAGCCGGUCAGAACAGGGCAGAUUGGAACCCUAAAACUGAAAUUUCCACACAAAACUGAAAUUUUCCGCAAAUAACCACAAUUAACGCACAAGGGAUCCAUUUAACACCAUUUAGAGCCAUCAAUUCAAGACCAACUAUAACCAUCAUAUGAAAACAGAAAAAUCCCCAAAAAAAGUCAGAAAUUAGCUAACUCCACUUUAAUCCAUGAAAUCUUCCAUAAAAUAACCUAGUUAACUACCAUAAGUCACUAAUUUACCAUAAUUAGGAACAAAGAGUGAGUUUCCAAGCAAAAUACCUUAACUCCUCAAGAAAGGUAGUAGCUUAGGGGUUUUUCCUCCAAAACAACUCCACCAAGACCUUCAAACUCCCUUAGCAAGUCACUUUGGUGGACAAAUUCAAGAUUUAAUCGGUUGAAUUUCGAGAUUUAAGCAAGAAAUGAAAGAAGUAGUUGAAGCUUUCUUUUCUUUUCUCUCAAGGAGAGGUUCGGCCAAGAAGGGUACAAAAUGAAGAUGAUUUGGGUCAAAAUUGAUCUUUUAGUAAAGGUAAGAAAGUUAGGCAAGUCCAACAUCCAAUCGGGUCGCGACACAUGGUACUUUUAAUGGUUCAAGUUUAUCUUCUUUCUUCCAAUGGUUAAUCUAUCUAGCUAACCUCUAAUUAUUUUCUAACACCUAGUAAUUAACUCCCUUUAUGCAAAACUUAACCUAAUUGGCCGAAUUUCUCUCACUGAAUGCACUAGCGGGUCCCAUGCCUAUAAUACACUUCAAACUUAACGUGAACUAACUUAUAUCAGGAAAAUGAUUUAAAAACUCUAUUCACUUAUAAAAUCUCUAGGAAAAUCAAUAUCAUAGGGUAUAGUGAGGAAAAUGCAUGAGAGACAAUAAAAAAAAUAUAUAUAAAAUAAGAAAAAUUUACGGGUCCUCACACUCUCUCCCCCUUAAAGAAAUUUCGUCCUCGAAAUUUCCUUCUCAACGGAAUCUAUCAAAAUCUGCAUUAGAUGGCGGAUCAUACCUUCUACGUCCUCAGACGAAUCAGAGACCUGAAGUUGCUCUAGAGAAUUCACUCGAUCCAGUCCUUUUUGCCCUUCGUCUGUCCAGGGUUAGUCUUGAUUGGUUGCUGGGUUCUUUUCCCUUCGCAUAGUACAACUGGGCAGUUAGCAACCCGAUGAUUGGCACCCCCACAACGCAGGCAUUUUCUCCUUCUUUUCCAACAAUUCACCUCAGUAUGAUUGAUUUUUCCACAAUAGCCACAAGAUAGGUGUGGAAUUGAGCUUUGAUCUCUUGGUGAGGCCCCUCUCGGAGUAUCUUCUUUAGGUGACCCCAAAAUUCUCACACCACUAGUUCCUCUACCUACCUUAGCGAGUGGCCUACCUAGAUCACCUUGUUCUUGCCUUUGAAUUUCACUAAGUGCACCCCUUUUCUUUGCAUGGAAGGCCUUCACCUGUGCACCUAAAAUUUCUAUCCUUUGGCUUUUCUCUGGAACUUCCGUCAAGGUAUUAAUUUGUGCCCUUGCUAAAAUCCCUUCGCAUUGCCUUUUCAGUUCUAUGUUCUCGUGCAAUAGCUCAAGUUUCUCCGAGUAUUCAUGUUUCCAUUGCUCUUCCCAGUACUCGGCUAAUCUCUUUUGAACCUCUACUUCGUUUCGAAGAAUCUCGAUUUCCUUAUACCUACCAACCAAGUGUGCCAUCUCGCAGAUUCGGUGGAACUCAAGUGAUAGCCUUAUGCCACAUCUUUAUUUCCAAAAUCUCUCUACCUACUUCCAAAAUUCUCAAUCUCGGUACACUAAUAAUCAAACCAAGUUUAUACGAAAAUAUUAGUGGAUAGGUAUCAAGGAACUAUAGGCAAGAAUAGUUCGUCGAGGACCAAGCUACGGGUAUCCGAUAUCCAAAGUGAGGUAGAGACCUAGAUCAUUGCAGUCAGGUCAUAUCAAAUCAAAUAAACACUUAUCAAGUCCUCACAGUCAUAGUAAAAAAAAAUAGGUCUUAGGUGUGAAUUCCGCAAUAUACUCUACAAUCCAGUCACCCUCUAGAAAACCCUAGCCAGACUAGUAUGAGAUUAGUCCAUGAUAACACGUCCAGAUCCAACCCCCUCGAUCAGGCUAAUUACUAGGUCCAAUAUAAAGAUCUUUCGUGCCUUGUUCUUGGCCAUCAAGACUUACCUCAAAUUCAAUCAAGAUACAGACCCUUAUUCUAGCGCUCUCCACCCUUUGGUACUCAGGUCCAAGAAUCUAAAAUAAGCUAAUUCAUAACUCGAGCCGGCCGGUCCCAAGAGUAAAUCAUCCAUAUUAAAAAUUCUUACCCGACAUACAUAUCUAUCUUCCUCAGGUGUACCAUAUUAAAGAUUUUUACACUUAUAACGUGCACGGUUCAUAACUUAUGCUCAAAAGAGCACUUAUACCUUUAGACACAUUCACGAAAUUAAGACCAUAACACCACUUGGCCCAAUCUCACUCCGCGCAGAGACCACGCGAAGCGGCUCUGAUACCAUCUAUGACGGCUCCACCUCACCUUAAGGCGAACCAAAGGAUUCGGCGGACCGCCUGCCCAACUCUCGCCAGGACUACGGAGUCGAAAUCACACAAACCCGAUAUAGCGCACAAACGAAUCCCCAAGAGAACAAUCAAUCAAAGACUACUAAGUUGAAAAACAAGAGUUCUACACCAUAAGGUACCAUGGUGCUUCGAUUAAAUGCCUCAACGGAAACGAGAAUGAAGACAAAAAUGCAAAUGGAUAGUGGACACAUCACAGUCUGGCCAAGAUACAGCCGGAUUUGGUGAACAGUUCCCGCCAGAAUUUUCUUUCCUUGUUCCAAUGCCGCGCUCGUCCGAUCGUCCAAUGGUUACAAGUAGCAUCUCAACAAAUGGAAAGGUACCAACUCAAAUGAAUACACUUAAUGUACAUGAUAAAACACUUAUAUACAUACAUUGAAAACUUUACAAUUAAAAGUGUGAUACUUAAUUAAAAGACAAUUAGGGUUUUGAUUACACAAGAGCUAACAAAAGAACGUUUACACUAGCUCAACCAUUUUCUCAAAAUCACAGUUCAAAGUGUGGUUCCCUGUAAGGAAAACAAAGAUAAUGGGAAGGGGGUGAGUUUACGCUCAAUGAGGUACCAAAAUAAUAGCAAUUAAGAAUCAUGAAAUUUCAUAUUCAAUUAGUCACAUAUGCAAAUCAAAGAAAGAAAUGAACAAGCACCAUAGAUAGAAAGGAUACGGGUGGUUCUCAAGAGCCCAAAAUUUUCGGUUGCAGUACUUGAUCCAAACCCAUUAACUCUCCGUCAACGUAUGAAGAACAACCAUGUCCGUAGACCCCCACUUUACACUAAAUUUCAUCCACCAAACUUACCCCUUACCGGGCCCGAACACCUCAACAGAAACAGAAGUGGUAAUACUCGAGUAUACCGGAAUCAAGGGUUUCAAUACCCAAAGAUUCCUAGAAACAGACUACCAUGGUUCGUUAUCUAAUCGACAUGGCCCUUGCCGGCUCGAUUUGAGUAACUUAGCCAUAGGAUUUGAGCUCAGAGGUCACAGAAAGGUCGUUGGAUACAAGCCUCCAAAUGACGUCAGAACAGAUACAGAUACAGAUAACAGAUUCAACUUCACACAGUAAAUAGGCAUACAGACAGACAAGAGAACCAGUGUGAAAAAGUACACUUUCGUCUCAAAUAGAAUAAACAGAUAGUACAGUCAUUCAAAUCACAGAUGGCAAGUACAGAAAUCAAGUUAAGCAACAAUGAAGGGAGUGGUACACUCACCAGUUCAAGUAAAACAAAUUCAAACGUUCCCUUCCGAAGUACUUCUUGGAUCACCAGCACAUCCUAAAAUGAUCAAAGUAAAACAAUUAUGGUUCAUAUGGGAACGACAUUCACAAAUGAAACUCAACUAUGAGUCAUAUGCCUAACCAAACGAACUACGAAUGCAAGGGUGCAAAAGCGUGAUUUUGGAAUGAAAAGGUAACGAGAGGACCUAGGGCUUGAACGAUCCAAAAGCCCUUCAUUUCUACUAAAAAGGCAACUCAAACUUAAAGGGACCAAACGGCCUAGAAAAUUGGAAAGCAUCCCCCCCUAAAUUUGCUUACUUUUCUAUCCUACAAUCAACACCAACUCAUCUCAAAUCAACCACAAUUCUACAUACAAGUCAUAAACACAUCUUUCGGCAUAACAACCACAACUGAAGCUACAUUUAUCGGAUUGAAACGAAUUUUAUGGCGUUUAGAAACCAAGCCAUAUAUGUACAUUUCUUAUGAAAACCUCCAAAGCCAAAUCAUGCAUUUUUAUGGUCAAAAAUGAAAAUCUCCAUGAAAACAGAAAUCUGUCCGCGAAACAGGGCUCAUGAGCCAAGGGUAUUUCGAUCAUUUCACAUGCUACAGUGCUCAGAUCGAGCUGAAAUUUUUCAGCCAGCUAGUUAACACCAUUUUCUACAACUUUCAUAUUUUAAUCUAAGCCUGAUUCAGCCUCUAACAUGCACAAAUAAAGCCGGUCAGAACAGGGCAGAUUGGAACCCUAAAACUGAAAUUUCCACACAAAACUGAAAUUUUUCGCAAAUAAUCGUAAUUAACGCACAAGGGAUCCAUUUAACACCAUUUAGAGCCAUCAAUUCAAGGCCAACUAUAACCAUCAUAUGAAAACAGAAAAUCCCCAAAAAAAUCAGAAAUUAGCUAACUCCACUGCAAUCCAUGAAAUCUUCUAUAAAAUAACCUAGUUAGUUACCAUAAGUCACUAAUUUACCAUGAUUAGGAACAAAGAGUGAGUUUCCAAGCAAAAUACCUUAACUCCUCUAGAAAGGUAGUAGCUUAGGGGUUUUUCCUCCAAAACAACUCCACCAAGACCUUCAAACUCCUUAACAAGUCACUUUGGUGGACAAAUUCAAGAUUUAAUCGGUUGGAUUUCGAGAUUUAAGCAAGAAAUGGAAGAAGUAGUUGAAGCUUUCUUUUCUUUUCUCUCAAGGAGAGGUUCGGCCAAGAAGGGUACAAAAUGAAGAUGAUUUGGGUCAAAAUUGAUCUUUUAGUAAAGGUAAGAAAGUUAGGCAAGUCCAACAUCCAAUCGGGUCGCGACACAUGGCACUUUUAAUGGUUCAAGCUUAUCUUCUUUCUUCGAAUGGUUAAUCUAUCUAGCUAAUCUAUAAUUAUUUUCUAACACCUAGUAAUUAACUCCUUUUAUGCAAAACUUAACCUAAUUGGCCGAAUUUCUCUCACUGAACGCACUAGCGGGUCCCACGCCUAUAAUACACUUCAAACUUAAUGUGAACUAACUUAUAUCAGGAAAAUGAUUUAAAAACUCUAUUCACUUAUAAAAUCUCUAGGAAAAUCAAUAUCAUAGGAUAUAGUGAAGAAAAUGCAUGAGAGAUAAUAAAAUAAAAGAAUAUAAAAUAAGAAAAAUUUAUCGGUCCUCACAGUGAGCUAUUAAAAAGUAUUCUAACGUAUCACUUCUAUGUGUGUAAUCAGUUUUGGGGAUUAAAACGCUUAGAUUUGGAUGUUUAUCCACUUCGUAAGACUGCCAGGAACCUUGGUGCUUUUCUUAAUUAUAUCCCACUGUGUGAGCCUUACCAAGUUUUUCAACUGCAGUGGAUCUAUGAUUAUUUAGUAAUUGUAAAAUGAUAAAAGUCAUUUGUAUGGUUAUAUUUUUUUAUUUUUUUAACUCUUCCUCCACAGCCCCCUCUUCUCGACCAGAAUGGGGCUUUGCCCCCAUGCCAUCAGCACCCUGGACACAGUAUUAUUUCAGGAUAAUACUAUAGUGCCGAUCGUUACCAUAACUUGUGAAUAUUUUAAAUUAAAAUACUAGUACAACCGGUUAAUAGUGGUCCCCACAUCCAAGAUUGGUAUAUUUACCGACAAUUGCACUACUAUUGAUUCAUGUUUCCAUUAUUCAAAGUAACAUCAUGUGGUAAUAUGGUAACUUUGGUAAUAAAAUUGUUAAGUUAUAAGUGUGAUAUAAGAUUUUUUCUUUAAAUACUAAAUGUUACUACUUCUCCAACGAAACUUACUACUUUACAAUUAGUAAGUUUAACUCAAAUAAUGCUAAGUUUUUAUUGAAAAAUGAUUACUUUUACAAAUAAAAUGGUAAAUAAGUGAAUUGUUCAAUGACAGGUGUCGAACCUGUACAAUAAUAAAAUUAGAACCUAACUACCACUAAAGGGCAAAGGCAGUCAAUAAUUAAUCCUAGGUACUGGAGUAGGGACUUUAGGUGUGCAAUGGGUUACUUGAUUCACCCUGUUCCUGAAGAGUUUGCUUAAUCCGAUAUACCAGAAUUAAUUAGUUGACAAAAAUUACUAAAUAGUAGAUAAUGGCAAGCAGGGUCGUCUCCUCAGGGACUGGGGAGAUUUGUCUCUUUGAAAUUCUAAUUGGUGAAGGGGGAUUUUUAUUGGAAUGAAAUUAAAAAUAAUUAAGCAACUCAAUUAAAAAUAAAUAAUUAGCUAGCACGAAUAUAGCAGGAAUUAAAUCAAGGAUAGAUAAAUUCUAGACUACUCAGACACAGUCUAUUUUAUCCGAUCAUUGAUGCAAGAGAGGUUCACUUAAUUUAUUAAUAGGCUAGUUAUAGUCGCCGACAAACUCUAACGACCAAUUUUUUCUUAAUUUAUUGAUAACCAAGGUACGACCAUUGAUUACCCCUAACUAGAAAAUACUCCUAGGUACGACCGUAGGAAUUAAUUUCUCAAUUGCAUUAAUAACUAGAAAAAACUAACCCCAAUCAAUAACAUGCUACGAAGGUUAUUUAAAUUAGAUUGCACGUUCCCCUAGUGUGUAAACACGCCAGUUGCCACUAAUAUAAAUCAAUCAAACAAUUACGGAUUUAAUUGACUAAUUUGGCAGGAGAUUAAUAAGUCACAUUGGACAUGGGGCCCUUGAUAUCCAAUUAACAAAAUAAUCCCAUAGAAAUUCAAAUAGACAACGUGCAAAUAUUAACAAAUUAAGAAACACAUGAAAACUAAUUAGAUCUCACAGAUAUUCGAGACUGCGCCGUCGAGUUGAUCCUUGACUAGAUGAAGGGCUUAGCCAUGCUGCAUAAUUAAAUCUCCAUGCAAAUUAAUUGAUUGCAAAGGCAUCAAACUUUUCACUAGGAAGCGAGAAAUAAAUGAUUUUUUCCCGUUGGGGAAUAUUGUCGAACAGUAGGCGUGCGCCUGACAAGGAAAAAGAAAGAAAACUAAAAACUAUGCUAAAAACUAAGCUCCCCCAAGCCUCUGUACGUUUGUUUCUAAAAUAAUUGACUAAUGCUUCCUAUCCGUGGUCCCCAUCCGCCGAUUGAGAGUCCCAGUCCAAGAAGAAAACUCUGCCGAAUUGAGAAAAAGUCCAAAAGGUGGGGCCCUGCUGAAUUGUUUCUUGUUUCCUCUUGCUAGUAGGACUCUCAUACCAGCCACUCCUCAUCAGUAAGAGCAAACAGAAAUCCGUUUCUUCCCUCUUGUGGGCCACAUUGAUGGAGCUUUGCAGAAGACUCACACGUGUGAAGUAAUUUGCUUCAGAAAGUCCCUCCUUUUUUGUAAUUUUUUGCUCCAUUCCCUCAAAUUAAGUCCAGAUACCAAAUAUAAGUAGUUAUUAACAAUUAAAAUAAUAUUUGGCAGGGACAAGGGGAAAAUUAAUAAUAAAAUAACCGACAAUUAACACCCCAUCAUUCAAACUUACCAUUUUACUUAAGAUAGUUACAACAAUUAUAAUUAGUAAACAUAAUAGAAACACAAAACCAAACUUGUAUUAUAACUAAACAUGAAAUCCAAUACAAGAGAGAAAGUAGUAGAAGAGAUAUCACCCUUGUCACAUGAGAUCAACCUCUCCAUCUUUACUCCUUAAUCUUCAUCCAAAUCUAGCUACAAAUACAAGAAAGAUAAACUACACUAACUAUACUAAUCUACUCUAACUAAUGAACUAAGAAAAACUAGUGAAGACUACAUUUUUGGUGAGUUUCUCUAGUCUUCCAAAAGUUGUGAAAUGUCCUCCAAGGUUGCUCUUUAUAGAGGAAUUCAAGUUCAAGGUGAAUUGUUAAAGUUGAUGUAAAUUGCUCCUUGGAAUCACCAAAAGAUGCUUCUUGAAUUCUCUAUACUUGCUUGCUUAGUUCCAGCCAAAUUUCUUGCAGAUAAAUUGGUCAAAAAGCUUGUGUGAACAGAGCACAAGUUGUAGAGCCGCAAUUGGGGAUCCGAGGCAAGAUCUGAGGUCGGAUCGCUCAAAAUACCUCUCGGAUCUCAUUUUUCUUCAUUUUUAUCUUUAUUGCACAUUAGGAUCUGAGGCUUGUAACAUGGGGAUCCGAGCUCGGACCAUUCUCUCGGAUGUAGCCUGUCAUUACAGAAAUUUAUCUGAGAUCAGGUUUAGUACAGAUCCGAACUUAGAUUUACUUGCUUUAUUUUUUGUCCAACUUUAACUGAUAUUUUCUUAAUGAUAGACUCUGAACUAACUCUUAUGAAAACAUGAAAAUUGUAGCUCUUUGAGUUAGAUUUCCAAUGCAUCAAGAAUUAUCCAAUUUAGACUUCUGUGGACCAAGAAAUUACCAAAAUACCAUUGACUGGUCAGGGCUCUGUUUUAGCUUUUGAUAAUGAAAAUACACUUCUAUAUUUCGACAUGACAAUGAAAAUGACUGAACUAGACUUUAAUGUCAUACCAAAUGUAGAUCUGUCUCUUAGCUUCAAAAUGGUUCAAGAAUCAUCUCAAUCCAAUGCUUGUAGUUCAAGAUAUAGCUGAAAUGCCACAAGGUAUCAAAGCUGUGAAACUUGAUUCUUUUUAUUCUUGAUUGCAUUUCCUCUUUUGCACUUCAUAUUCUCUCUUUUAUCACUUUAAACCAUCAUCAAUCAUCUAAUUAUCUUUUCAAAUUACUCCAAUUGAUGAUUGAAUCCUUAAAUCUAUAAAAACAUGAUGUUUUUACCAUAAAAAUCUAUAGAAAUGCAAUUUUUACCACUUAAAUCACAAAAUGCAUAUUUUCACUAGAAUCCUAACUAUUUAGUUCUAAAACUAAAUAAAACACACCAAAACUAACUAACAAAACAUACUUAAAACAUGCAAACUAUGUACUUAUCAAACUCCCCCACACUUGAACAAUUGUUUGUUCUCAAGCAAUUAACACAUAAUCAACAACAAUGAUUCAAGAGGUGAAACACUAUAUGCACUUUUUUCGAAUUCAAUCCAUUAUAACUUGGCAAACAAUCAUUAUGCAAUUAUUCAAUUUACACUAAAUAUUCAUAAUAUUAAGUAAAGGAAAGAUAAUUUGUGAGGACCCGUAAAUUUUCUUUAUCUCAUAAUAUUUUAUUUAUUUUUCUUGCAUGCAUUUUCUUCAUGAAAUCCUAUUAUAUUGCUUUUUUUGAGAUUUUAUAAGUAAAUAUAGUUUUUAGAUUAUUUUUCUAGUAUAAGUUAGUUCAUGAGAAAUAAAGAGUGUAUAUUGGACGUGGGACCUGCUAAUGGCGUUAAGUGCGAUAAAUUCGGUCAAUUUGGUUAAAUUUUGCAUAAAGGGAUUUAAUUAUUAGGUGUUAGGAGAUAAUUAGAGGAUACCUAGAUGGAUUAACUAUGGGGAGACAAGAAAAUAACUUCAAGCAACAACAAAGUGCCAAGUGUCGCAAUCUAGUCAAAGUUGACUUGCCUAACUUUUCUUUAACUUUACUAAAACUCCAAUUUUGAUCCCAAUCAUCUUCAUUUCAUCAACCCCUUGGCCGAACUCCACCUUGAGAGAAAAGAAAAGAAAGUUUCAACUAUAUCUUUCAUUUCUUGCACAAAUCUUGAAAUCUAACCGAUUAAACCUUGAAUUAGUCCACAAAAAAGACUUGUUAAGGGAGUUUGAAGGAUUUGGUGGAGUUGUUUUGAAAGAAAAACCCCUAAGCUACUACCUUUCUUGAGGAGUUAAGAUAUUUUGCUUGGAACUCACUCUUUGUUCCUAAUAAUGGUCAAUUGGUGACUUAUGGUAGCUAAUUAAGUGAUUUUAUGGAAGAUUUCAUGGAUUAAAGUGGAGUUAGCUAAAUUUCUGAUUUUUUUGGGAAUUUUUCUGUUUUCAUAUGGUGGUUAUGGUUGGCCUUGAAUUGAUGGAUCUAAAUUGUGUUAAAUGGAUCCCUUGAGCGCUAAUUGCGAUUGUUUGCGGAAAAAUUUCGAUUUUAUGCGGAAAUUUCAGUUUUAGGGUUCCAAUUUACCCUGUUCUACCCGGUUCCAUUUGACCAUGUUAGAGAUCGAAUUAGGUUUACCACAAAACAUGAAAGUUGUAGAAAAUGAUAUUUUAUAACUGCCUGUAAAAUUUCAGAUCUAUCAGAGUACUGUAGCAUUUGAAAUCACUGAAAUACCUUUGACUGCCCAUAAGCCCUAUUUUCGCGGAUAGUUUUCUGUCUUCGUGGAGAUUUCAAUUUUUGACUUUGAAAGUGCAUGAUUUAGCUUUGGAGGCCUUCAUAAUAAAUGUAGAUAUAUGUCUUGGCUUCAAAACUCCAUAAGAUACAACUCAAUCGGACUUCGGUAGCCUGAGUUAUUGUCAUUUAAUCAUAGUACGGUUAACUAGUCUGAUUGUGAGAUGCUGGUUCUGUAAUUUGAAAUUUUGACCUAGAUACACUACGGACUGGAUUGAGUGGUCUUCAUCAAAGUUGUAGGCCUUUAUCUUAACUUCGAAAUGGUAUAAAUUGCACCCCAAUCCAAUAAGCGUAGCUUCGGUUGAGUCUGUUCCGCUAAGAGACGUCAAACCUGCUAUUUAGCUUUUGUCCUUAAAACUUGAUUUCUAGUUGCAUUCCUAGACUUGCUUUGUAUUUGGAUGAACUUGAGCCUAGUUGAAGGGCUAUUGUAUUGAAAUUUCUUAUGUGUUGAAUUGGACUGACUUAAGGAAAACAAUGAAGCCAUAAAUGGCUGGAAUAUAGCAAAAUACAGAGGGCAUGCUGCCCAAAAUUUUAGAACUACGCGAUUCCUUCAAAUUGAGUUGAUCUUAGUAAAAAUGAAGGGUUUUGAGGGUUGUUUGUAACCCUAGAACCAACUGUUAUCUUUUUACUCAAACGUCAUAUUUUUAUUCUUCUGUACUAGAACUUAACCUGAAAAGGCGUACGACAUAUAGUCGAGUCUCAUUUAUGCAUUUCAUUUACUGGGUUUGUGGAUAUGCGAAUUAUAAUUGUUUUAUCUUGAUUAUUUUAGGGUUUCUUGGCGAUUAAAGUCAUUUUGGGUAAAAAACUUUUGAAAUAUCUGUACUGGAACCGGUGAGUGUACCACUCCUCUCAUUUGUUGCUUAACUUGGUUUCUGCAUCUGCAAUCUGUGAUUUAAAUGACUGUACUAUCUGUUUAUUCUGUUUGAGACGAGAGUGUACUUUAUCACACUCGUUCUCUUGUCUAUCCAUAUGCCUAUUUACUGUGUGUAAUCUGUUAUCUAUUUCUGAGUCUGUUCGGACGUCGUUUGGAGGCUGGUAUCCAACGAUCUUUCUGUGACCUCUGAUGUACGGAUCGAGGAUAACCUAAGAGGAGGGGUGAAUUAGGUUAUCUAAAAAGUAAGUUAAGAUAUGAGUCACCCCCUUUUUUGACCUAUUUUUUUUUUCAAGAGGACCUCAUAGAAAAGUAGUUGAUGGACUAGCACAAGCAAUUUGUGAGUAAAACAGGUAAGCAAUAUAUAUAUAUAUAUAGCAAGACAGUAAAUGAAGUGAUAGAAUUGCAAACCAAAUUUCAAACUUGACUAAGUUUGAAUAUCACUUUAUAUAUCAAGCUUCUUCAAUAUGAUCAACUAUCAACCAAUCUCUUGUGUACAAAUGAAGGAUCACUUCCUUCUUGCCUCAAGUCUCACUCGAUCAAGCAAGGAAGUUUUACAAUCACACGGAUAACUCUCACAAAGCUACACUAUUGAAGAAAUUGAAUCACACUUGAAAAGCUAAAAAGAGAUGACACAACUAAGGGUACAAAUCUUCCUUUUGAAGUAUUCACACACUUGAAUCACUCAAGAUCUGAUGUAGACUUAAUGUGUAAAAGUGGUUUUGAAGAGUUGACUAAUCCCUAUUUAUAAGAGACCAAAAAAUUUUUCAAUUAAUGCUGUCAACGGAUAGAAGGCAGAUGGAAGGUCAGCUAGCCGUUGGUAGUGUCGGAAGUCCGGUACUCUGAUUUUAUGCGUCCGAACGAAGACAGUGAGUUCAAUAUGAUUUCUUGCAAUUCUUAGGACGUCCGGUCCCUCCACAGUAUACGUCCGAAAGUAAACUUGCAAAUCCUUCUUCAUUUCUAUCGGACAUCCGAUGCUCCAGUGUUUUGUGUCCGAAGUGCAGUUACGUUUGUCGGACGUCCGGUAUAGAGGUAUUGUGUGUCCGAACGAGGUCAGUGAUCAUAGAUGUUUUGAUAUUUUACCUUCGGACAUCCGAGUGUGAGUUCUUCAUGCGUCCAAAGUUACUCAAUGGUUGUCGGCCGUCCGUUAUGGUUCUUUUGUGCGUCCGACAGUAAAUUGUCAAACCUUGAUCCAGUUUUGGCUUCAGGUCUUUGAUCUAGUUUUUGUUCCAAAUCCUGAAAUGAACUCUUCAAAGAAUAUUAGUAGCAUCCAAUUGAUUUGUAAUCAUCAAAAGUUAUGAAUUGAGAUAUACAAUCUCCCAUUUUUUGAUGAUGACAAAAUAUUGGAUGGAUCAAAAAGGAUUGAACUCCCUCUUAACUCGACUCCCCCUAGUUUAUAGAUUUCAUGACCAGAGUAUUCGCAACUCCCCCUCAUUUAUACGAUUCAUAUCCAUUUUCUUUCCCUUUUUGUCAUCAUAAAACAGCCAUACCAACAUUCAAUAGACAUUAUCAAUUUGACAAACCAGAACAAUAUAUGAACAUUCAGCAAAUGAUAAAAGCAUCCAUUCAUAGAAGAAAAACAUCAGUUAACAGAAUAACAUCAUUUUUACAGACCAAAAGAGGAUUAUGAUCCUCAAUUUAUAGCAGAAGUUUUUCAAUGCAAAAGAUGAACUAAUGUCCUAAUGAUGAAAUGCAAAGUCCUAGUAGUGCUUAGAUGGUAAUUUUCAAUGAUCCAGGCCUUCUCCUGGUUAGACGAAACUGCUCAGGAUCCAUUUGGUCUUCAUCCUCAGUGUCCUCAUCAUCAUCCUCAGUUGUCUCCACAGUUACAGGAGUCUUGCCUUUAUCUUUGGAUUGAGAGCUGGAAGCAUGUGCCUCUGGAGUGGCUUCAGGACCAGGAGUAUGCUCUGUGGGCUGAGGUCUUGGCUCUUUUUGAUGAGCACUUUCAUUGAAUUCAGGGAUUGGAGGCACGAGGAGAUUCCUUUUUUCAAUGAAGAUGGACUGCUGGGCAGGAGACAUGGUCAUCAUGAGACCAUCUUCAAUGAGCAGAACAUGUUGUUUGAGAUCCUCAAGCAAGGAGAUGACCUCAGAAUUGAAAGAGAAUGACUUACUAGCUGAUUUUCUAGGGUGGAAGGUGAAUGGAGAGACAUACAUGGAUUGAUCACGAGGAGUCCUAGGAGUGACAGGGGUUUCCUGAAGAUUUUUUCUCCUAGUUUCUGCCACAGUUUCCUUAUAACACCAAUGCCCCUCAAAAAAUUUCAGAUUCUUUCCCUCAAAAUACGCUUGUGAGAAAACUGUUGAGACAGUCUUUGGGUGAUUUUUCAGUAAAAGGAAUUUUAAAAUAGGCAAAGAUAGGAGUCAGAAAUUUUUCAUAAGAGAGUUUCCUACGACUAUCAGUGCUAAUCUUGAGCAGAAAUUUACACAUCACAAACCCAAAGUCAAUUCUGAUUUUUUCAACAAAACAGUAAAAGAGAUAAAGCUCCAUUUUGUUCGCAUCAGUUCUGUGGCCAUCAGUGGGCACCAACAGAUUUGAAAUGAUGGUAAAAAUUAUCAAGUUCUGAGAACUAAGAUCUUCUAAUCUUGCCUCAGCAGAAGUGUUGAAAUGUGAUUGAAAAUAGGUCAUGAGUUUAGCAAUGUGAAAAUGAUGAUAGGCAGAGGGAUAUUCUUCAUAUGAAAAGAAAUUUGCAACUUUUCCUUUAAAACCAGAUUCAAUACUUGUUUUCAGAAUGGAAUUCACAAUGUCAGGAGUUAACGCGAUGUCUACAGAGUUGACCCUAGAGAUGAGUUCAGUGUGUGAGUUACCCUUUCUGAGAUUUGCAAAGAACUGAUAAAGCAUAUCAGGGUAAUAAGUAUUGGGAAUGGACAGAAAAUGAAUCCAUUUUUGGAACUCAAAGAACUUAAUAAUAGGUUCGAGGGCAAGCUUACGAAAUUCAGGAGGAAAAAUAGUCCUUUGAGUGAUGAAACCCUUUUGUGAGACCAACUCAAAUCUGUCUCUGGCCUCAUCAUCAAUGAAUUUUGGCAGAAGAAAAGGUUCCUUAUCAAGCUGAGUCACUGGUUCCUUUCCAGACUGUUUCCUUUUUGCAGUUUGCUUGGCAGAUAACUCAGUAUUCUGAACCUCAGGCCUUGUCCGUGGAGAUUUUCUGGUAGAUGGCUUAGGGGUGUGCUGAACCUCAGCAUUUUUCUCUGCAUUUGAUUGAGGAGUGCUUCCCUUUUGGGCAGACCUUUUUCUUUUCCCAGGUGAUUUCGAGACAGUCACUUCAGCAUGAGUGGGUUCCUCUAUUUCUUCUGCACUCCUACCACCUAGAUUUUCUUCAGAGUGAUGCUCUUCCAUCUGCUCAUCAGAUGGCUCAACAGUUGGAGCAUCGCACUUCCUUUGAGCAGUUUGCUUUACCUUCCCACCUCUGUUUGCAGUUUUCUUUUUGGAUGCUUUGGUAGAGGGUUCCACAAUUUUAAUAUUCUCAUCCCUAAGUCUAAAAGAUUGUCCGACCCCCGUAGAACCAUCUCUAAUUCUAACCAUGGUGUAAUGUAAUCGGAUGUUGAUGUAGGAAGUGGUGUAAAGUGUAUAAGAUAGAUGAAGAGUGCAAUAUGAAUUAAUGUUGAUGCACAAACCAACCACAAGAAGUCUGAUUUGAAAACUUAGGGUUUCUGAUAUAAAUUAAGGAAAUGUGAGGCAGUUGGGAGUUGGAAGAGAUUUUUAUGUUCAGACAACGGGCAAUAGGGAUGUAAUGGUGUCGAUUGAAUCAAUUUCUUGGAACUUGAUUAGAGGAGAGAGUAAUUUGAAUUUUGAACUUUGAGAGAGAACUGAAGGGUUGCGUCCGAGACAAAGAAAGUUAAUGAAUUUAAUGAGGUAGGUGGCUUCCUUAUAUGAAGCAAUUUUUGAGUGUCGGACGGCCGAACGAAGUGAAUCUUCCGACUCAAUCGUCCGAACCAAAAUUUUCCAGAAAAGAAUGAAGAACAUUGUCGGAUGUUCGUUUUUAAUCUAUCGGACGUCCGAUAAGAAGAAACUUAGAGAAUUUUUUCUGAGACGCCCAGUUUUGUUCUCAGAUACACAAAUUGAUCCAGUGGAAGGGCUUUUGUGAGGAUAUCAGCAAUUUGAUCUUUAGAACAAACAUAUUGAACACAAAUUUCACCCUUGUGGACAAGAUCGCGAAUGAAGUGAUGCUUAAUGUCUAUAUGCUUUGUCCUAGAAUGUUGAAUGUGAUUUUUUAUCAAAUUAAUGGCACUGGUGUUAUCACAAAACAUAGGUACGGAAUUAUACACUAAACCAAAAUCAUUCAAAGUGUUUUUCAUCCACAACAAUUGAGCACAGCAAGCACCAGCAGCAACAUAUUCUGCUUCGGUUGUAGAUAAUGAAAUGGCAUUCUGUUUCUUGCUGAACCAGGAUACUAAGUAAUUUUCAAGAAAAUUACAUAUACCAGUUGUACUUUUUCUAUCUACUCUACAACCACCAAAAUCAGCAUCAGAGAAUCCACACAAGGGAAGUUCAUGACACUUAGGAUACCAAAGGCCAAAACUUACAGUUCCUUUUAAAUAUCUAAAGAUUCUUUUUACCGCAGUUAAAUGUGAUUCCUUUGGACAAGAUUGAAAACGAGCACAUAAGCACACAGCAAACAUGAUAUCAGGUCUAUUAGCUGUUAAAUAAAGUAAACUACCAAUCAUACAUCUAUACUUCUUUUCAUCAACUUUUGUACCUUCUUCAUCUUUGUCAAGCUUGACAGAUGUGCACAUGGGUGUUCCAACUUGCUUUGAGUCCUCUAUUCCAAAUCUUUUCAGCAGUUCCUUGGUAUAUUUGGUUUGAUUGAUGAAUGUUCCAUCUUGGGUUUGUGUCACUUGGAGUACAAGGAAGAAAUUCAGUUCUCCCAUCAUGCUCAUUUCAAACUCUUUUUUGUAUGAUUUUGGAGAAAUUCUUGCACAGUCUCUCAUUAGUAGCACCAAAUAUAAUAUCAUCCACAUAAAUUUGUACAAUUAGAAGAUCAUUUAAACUUUAUUUAGUGAAAAUGGUAGUAUCCACUAUACCUCUUUUGAAACCAUUUUCAAUCAAAAAACCACUCAAACGCUCAUACCAUACUCUUGAAGCUUGUUUUAAACCAUAUAGAGCUUUUGAGAGUUUAAAAAUAUGAUUUGGAUAAUUUUUAUUUUCAAAACCAGGAGGUUGACCAACAUAAACUUCUUGAUCUAUAAAACCAUUUAAGAAAACACUUUUAACAUCCAUUUGAAAUAACUUAAAAUUCUUGAAACAUGCAAAAGUUAAAAACAUUCUAAUAGAUUCUAGCCUGGCUACGGGUGCAAAUGAUUCAUCAUAAUCUAUUCCCUCUUCUUGAGUGUAACCCUUAGCUACCAAUCUGACCUUGUUUCUAACUAUUUCGCCUUUGUCAUUCAUUUUGUUUCUAAAAAUUCAUUUAAUGCCAAUAAUAGGAUGAUCUUGUGGUCUAGCAACUAAUGUCUAAACCUUAUUUCUUUCAAAUUGAUUUAACUCCUCUUCCAUGGCCAAAAUCCAGCUCUCAUCAUUUAAUGCAUCAGCAACAUUUUUGGGCUCAAGAUGUGAGACCAAUGCAAAGUUAUCUAUUAAUUGUCUAGAGAAGGAACGUGUUCUGACCUUUUCAGAUGGAUCCCCAAUGAUAAGUUCCUUGGGAUGAUUUUGAACGAAUUUCCAGGCUCUUGGAAGAUCAUUUGGAAUUUCAGUGUCACUGUCAUUGUCUUCUCUAGCAAGACUGUCUUGAUUUCCAUCUUCCUUUGAAUUAUUUUCUGAUGGAGCUGUGCCUUGAUUGCUGAUUGUUAGCCUCUUUAAUUCUUCUCGAAUACCUGCACCAUAUCUUCACCGCAACUCAUAGAAGUGUCACCAUUAGAUUCAUCAAAAGUGAUAUGUAUAGCUUCUUCUAUAACUAGAGUUCUACGAUUAUAAACUCUAAAACCUCUCUUGUUUUCACAAUAUCCCAAGAAGAUUCCCUCAUCAGAUUUUUUAUCAAACUUACCAAGAUGCUCCUUGAUGUUCAGAAUGAACCAUUUGCAACCAAAAACUUUAAAGUAAUCAACUACAGGUUUUUUAUCAAACAACAGCUCAUAUAAAGUCUUGUUCAAGAUUGGUCUUAAGAGAACUCUGUUCAUGGUAUAGCAUGCAGUGUUUAUAGAUUCAACCCAAAAGUACUUUGGUAAAUUGUAUUCACUGAGCAUGGUUCUAUUAGCUUCUUGAAGAGUUCUAUUUUUCCUUUCAACUACUCCAUUUUGCUGAGGUACUCUAAUAAUAGAAAACUCAUGUAUAAUGCCAUUGUUGUCACAAAAUUCUGGAAAUCCACAAAAAUGAAAUUCUGUGCCAUUGUCACUUCUUAUUUUUAUGAUUUUCAAAUCAAUCAGAUUUUGAACCUUGGCAAACAGGAAAAUAAAAUUUUUGAAAGCAUCAUCUUUAUGUGCAAGAAACAUCACCCAAGUGUAUCUAGAAUAAUCAUCAACAAUAACAAAACAGAAUCUCUUGCCACCAAGACUUGUGGUUUGAGUUGGACCAAAAAGAUCAAGAUGUAGGAGUUCUAAGGGUUUUGAGGUAGAAACACAUUUUUUUGGUUUAAAAGGUACCUUGACUUGUUUUUCAAAUUGGCAAGCAUCACAGAUGCGAUCUUUACAAAAAUUGAGUUUUGAAAGUUCUCUAACCAGGUCCUUUUUGAAAAUUUCUUUUAGCAACUCCAUAUUGAAGUGACAAAGCCUUCUAUGCCACAACCAGGGAUCCUCAUUUGCUAUUUUGAGACAACUAAGGCUGGAAGCAUCAACCUUUUCAAGAAUCACCACAUAAAUGUCAUUAACUCUUUUUCCUUUGAAAAUAAUAUUGAACUUUGAGUCAAGAACAAGGCAUUCAUGUUUCUUAAAUAACACGAGCAGGUUUCUAUCACAUAGUUGACUAACACUCAGCAAAUUGUAACUCAGGUUGUCGACUAAAAGAACAUAAUGAACAAAAGUCUGACCAUUCUUACCAACAUCACCAAUACCAACAGUUUUGACUUUAUUAUCGUCUCCAAAAGUAACCUUUCCACUUGUUUUUUGCUUGAGCUUGAUGAACUGUGAUGCAUCACCAGUCAUAUGUCUUGAGCAUCCACUAUCUAUGAACCAUUUUGAUUCUUUAAUACUGUUCACCAGGUUCACCUACACAGUAGUUCACAAUAUAAUGUUUGGUACCCAUUACUUUUUGGGUCCAUCAUGGUUAGCAUUAUGUCUAAUAACCCACAUGCAUCUCAUUCCAUUUCUCAAGUUUUUCUUAACAUAACAGUUGCUAUUCAUGUGACCAAAUUGACAACAAAAGUUGCAUACUGUCAUUGGAUCAAUCAAAUAAACAGGUUUAAUGAAUCUGACUUGCCUUCUCCUAUGGAUAGCAAACUCAUUUACAUUUUGAUUCAGUCUUAUCUGAUGAGUGUUAAGGUGAGGUUCAGUGUCAUUCUUUUGAAGGCGGUUCUGUUUCAUAUGAUGUAACAAUUGACAUAAAUCAUCCAUCCUUUUUUUUAGGCUGCAUUGUUCACUUUUGAGUAUGUCACAGAAAUUUAUCUUUUUGUUAAGUUCAGCAAGCACAUCAAUUUCAAUUCUUUUUAGGUUCUCAUUUUCAUGCUUAAGACACUUAUUUUGUCUAAAGAGAUUUGCAUUAUCUUGUAUUAAAAAGCUAAUUUUCUGCUUUAAUUCCUUGUUUCUAACAUAGGAUUCUUUUAAACUGUUAUGCAUUUUUUCUAGGAAAGAGUUAAUAUCAACAUCAGACUCACUAUCACUAUCAAUUUGAGAGUUACAAUGAGUUACCUCUUCAUCUCCAAUGGCCAUGAAAGUCACUUGGGCAGAUUCCUCUUCUUCCUCUACUUCUCCUUCUGAAUUGCAGUCAUUCCAGGUGAUCUGAAAAUUAUUGAAUUUUGGUUUUCGUUCACUCUUGUUCUCCUUCUUUUUCUUCAUUGGACAUUCAUUUGCAUAGUGACCAGGUUGGCCGCAUUCAAAGCACUUAUCAGUUUACUUUUUGUUGAAUUCCAACUUUCCUUUAUUUCUGAAGUUGUUGGACUGAUUUGGAAAGGAAUUGCUAUGUCCUCCUUUUUUGAAUCUUCUCUUGUUGAGUAUUCUUUUGAAGCCUCGUGUGAUGAGUGCAAUGUCACUAUCAUCACCUUCCAUGUCAUCUCCAUCCAGAGAGAUUGUAUCAUCUUCUUCUUGUGAAGUCUUCAGAGCAAUGUUUUUUCUAACUCUUGUGUCUUUCUCUUCCUGCACCUUAGACUUGAGUUUUAGCUCGUAAGAGGUGAGUGAAUUUAUAAGGGAUUCAAUAGAUAAAGUGUUCAGAUCUUUGGCUUCCUCAAUGGCAGUCACUUUGCUUUCCCAAUCCUUUGAUAGAGCGUUCAGAAUUUUUCUAUUUUUCUCACCUAGAAAGUAAUCUUUGUCAAGAACUUAUAGAUCCUUAAUAAGAUCAUUGAAUCUGCAAUACAUCUUAUCGAUAUUUUCGUGAGGUUCCAUCUUAAAGGAUUCAUACUUCGUGACCAGAAUAGACUUCUUCUGUUCUCUCACAUUUUCACUUCCUUCGUGUAUUUCUCGAAGUUUGUUCCAGAUUUCUUUUACAGAUUUACAGCCAUUGACUCUAACAGAUUCAUUUGAGUCUAAAGCACUGUAUAGUACGUUCAUCGCCUUGGCAUUCAGAGUGAGAUGGGUUCUAUCUUCAGCAGUUAGUUUCCUUCUUAUUUUUGGUCUCGGCCUGUUUGUCUCUGUAUCAAUAGUAGAGGCAUCAAACGGAUCUUCAUUGACAAUAAACCAUAGCUCAAUAUCAAUAGAUUGUAAGAAAAUAAUCAUCUUUUCCUUCCAACUCACAUAGUUUGAACCAUUGAACAAAGGGGGUCUAGUUACAGAUUGUCCCUCAAAGAACAUGGCAUUGUUGGUUGUCAUUUUUACUCCUAAGCCGAUUGAGCUUAAUCUCAAGGAGACCAAACUCUGAUACCAAUUGUAAGGAUCGAGAACAACCUAAGAGGGGGGGUGAAUUAGGUCAUCUAAAAAAGUAAGCUAAGAUAUGAGUCACCCCCUUUUUUGACCUAUUUUUCUUUUUCAAGAGGACCUCACAGAAAAGCAGUUGAUAGACUAGCACAAGCAAUUUAUGAGUAAAACAGGUAAGCAAUAUAUAUAUAUAGCAAGACAGUAAAUGAAGGGAUAGAAUUGCAAACCAAAUUUCAAACUUGACUAAGUUUGAAUAUCACUUUAUAUAUCAAGUUUCUUCAAUAUGAUCAACUAUCAACCAAUCUCUUGUGUACAAAUGAAUGAUCACUUCCUUCUUGCCUCAAGUCUCACUCGAUCAAGCAAGGAAGUUUUACAAUCACACGGAUAACCCUCACAAAGUUACAUUAUUGAAGAAAUUGAAUCACACUUGAAAAGUUAAAAAGAGAUGGCACAACUAAGAGUAUAAAUAUUCCUUUUUGGAGUAUUCACACACUUGAAUCACUCAAGAUCUGAUGUAGACUUAUUGUGUAAAAGUGAUUUUGAAGAGUUGACUAAUCCCUAUUUAUAAGGGACCAAAAAAUUCUUCAAUUAAUGCUGUCAACGGAUAGAAAGCAGAUGGAAGGUCAGCUAGCCGUUGGUAGUGUCGGACGUCCGGUACUCUGAUUUUAUGCGUCCGAACGAAGACAAUGAGUUCAAGAUGAUUUCUUGCAAUUCUUAGGACGUCCGGUCCCUCCACAGUAUACGUCCGAAAGUAAAUUUACAAAUCCUUCUUCAUUUCUAUCGGACGUCCGAUGCUCCAGUGUUUUGCAUCCGAAGUACAGCAACGUUUGUCGGACGUCCGGUAUAGAGGUAUUGUGUGUCUGAACGAGGUCAGUGAUCAUAGAUGUUUUGACAUUUUAUUUUCGGACGUCCGAGUGUGAGUUCUUCAUGCAUCCGAAGUUACUCAAUGGUUGUCGGCCGUCCGUUAUGGUUCUUUUGUGCGUCCAACAAUAAUUUGUCAAACCUUGAUCCAGUUUUGGCUUCAGGUCUUUGAUCUGGUUUUUGUUCCAAAUCCUGAAAUGAACUCUUCAAAGAAUAUUAGUAGCAUCCAAUUGUUUCGUAACCAUCAAAAGUUAUGAACUGAGAUAUACAUCUGAGCUCAACACCUAUGGCUAAUUACUCGAGUCGGGCCGGCAAGGGCCUGAUCGAUUAGAUAACGAACCAUAGUAGUCUGUUUCUGGAAAUCUUUGGGUAUUGAGACUCUUGAUUCCGGUAUACUCGAAUAUUACCACUUCUGUUUCUGUUGAGGUGUUCGGGACCAGUAGGGGUAUCAUUUCCCUUUGAAUCACUGUAUCUAACUGCUUUCCUUUAUAUCUGGUAUAUGUAUCUGAUUGGUUAAACAUGAAAGGCCAUGAUUUUACUUCUAUAUGUUUGGUACCUCAUUGAGCUUAAACUCACCCUUUUCUGUUACCUUUGUUUUCCUUACAGGGGACAAAUUUGGAAAUCACGAUUUUGGAAGAAAAGGGUCAAGCUAGCAUAUAUGUCAUGUUGUUAAGCUCUUUCAAAAACGAAAUCCUAAUUAUAUUUUGUGUAGUAUGAAUACCUUGGAUUGCACUGUAUGUUAAGACUCCAAUAUAAAUAUAUGUAUAAGUGUUUAACCUUGUCUAUUAAAUAUAUUCCAUUGAGACUAUGAUUUUAUGGUUUGGUAAGCAUAUUCUCACCUUAGUAGUUUUCGAUUAUUCAUUUUCUUUGGGUCCUAUCGCGCGUACUAUAUUGGAUUUGUGUGAAUCGACUCCGUAGUCCUGGCGAGAGUUUGGCAGGCGGUCCGUCGAACCCUUUGGUUCGUCUUAGGGUGAGGUGGGGCUGUCACAGGUGGUAUCAGAACCGCUUCGCGUGGUCUCUGCGCGGAGUGAGUUUGGGCCAUGUGGUGUUAUGGUCCUGAUUUCGUGAAUAUGUCUAAGUGCUCAUUUGAGUAUAAGUUAUGAACCGUGCAUGUCAUAAGUGUAAAGAUCUUUAUCAUGGGACUUGAGAACGCUAGGUAUGUAUGUCGGGUAGGAAUCUCUAAUAUGGGUGAUUUACUCUUGGGACCGACUGGUUCGAGUUAUGAAUUAUCUUAUUUGGGAUUCUUGUGUCCGGCUACUAAAUAGAUGAGAGCCUAGGUUAGAAAAGAUUUGGGCGAACUAGAAAUUUGAUUCCAUGGAACUUCAUGCGGUUUGUUCGGGUGUUAGUAAGUAUGGUUAACCUGGAUUACGAUAUAAAUUGUGGUAUUCUCGUAGAUUAUGGAUGGAGGUUUAGAGAGGAAAUAACUUUUCGUUAGUUACUUUUGUGCUUUUAACCUAGUUCGUCUAUAGUACUUUUGGAUGACCCCACUACCUUCAUGGAUCUCUUUUGUUGUAUCUAGUUGACUGCUACUGUGUGACUGGUUUGGUACAGUUGUGUUAUGUAUAUAUACUUUUGAUCUGUCUGUACCUCUUAUUACUUGCUUAUGCAUAUAAUUAUCUUUAAUGGUAUAUUCACGCUUCGACCCUAGAUUGGUUAGACCAAUGGAGGGUACUCGUAGUGGACGAGGUUAUGGGCGUGGACGUAGACAAUUCUCGAAUGGAAUGGGUAACCAAGAACCAAUACCUGAAUCAAAUCCUGAACCUAGGGUUGACCCAAAUACUCAAGUAGCCGCUGCUAUCCAAUGCAUGACUGAUCUGCUAGCCCAUGUAGUGGAACACCAGGGCCAGAAUCCUAAUACUCAACCUAGAAAUCCUGGUAACCAUAUAGAGGGAGAGGAUAGAGCCCUUGAAAGAUUUCAGAAGUUCUCCCCACCAAAAUUUCUUGGAGGCCCUGAUCCUGACGUGGCUGAGAGGUGACUGGAGAAGAUGAUUGAUAUUUUUGCUGCGUUACAUUAUACUGAGGAGAGACAAGUGACCUUCGAUGUCUUCCAACUGGAGGGAGCAGCCCGAUCUUGGUGGAAUAUCAUUAGACUGAAAUGGGAACGAGAACAAACCUCGAGAACAUGGACGAACUUUAUGAGGGAAUUCAAUACCAAGUUUUUUCCUCCUCUAAUCCAAGAAAAGAAGGAAGAUGAAUUCAUUCGAUUUCGCUAAAGAACUCAGACCGUGGCCGAGUAUGAGAGUCAAUUUACUCGGUUAUCUAAGUUUGCGCCCGAAUUGAUUGUAACCGAACAAAGACGGAUAAGACGUUUUGUCCAGGGAUUAAAUGUUGAGAUUCAGAAGGACCUGGCUGUAGCUCAACUUAGUACCUUUAGUGAUGCUGUGGAGAAAAUCCAGCGGGUUGAAAAUGCGAUGCUACAGGUGAGAAACUUCCAAACCAAGAAAAGGAGCUUCCCUGGGAGUAGUUCGGAACAAGAAGAUAAGAGUACACCCCCAAAGAUUGGAAAGGGAAAUGAUGGAGUACGACAACCGGGGGUGUAACGUGAUGUCUCUCAGGGAGGACCGGUCUCUGCUAUUCGUGGUCCCUGUGGAUAUUGCGGAGGGCCAAAUCAUACGGAGGCAAAUUGUUAGAAGAAAGAGGGAAAAUGUCUGCGCUGCGGAAGUGCCGAUCAUCGGAUUGUUGACUGCCCAGUUCGAUUGCGAACAGGAAAAGGGACCCAACAACCAACUAAGACCAACCCUGGACAGUCGGAAAAGGAAUGGACUGGAUUGAAGGUAUCGACUCGGGUAUAUUCUUUAGAGCACCAUCAGGUCUCUAACACGUCUGAGGACGUAGAAGGUACGAUCCGUUGGUUAUCUUAGAUUUUGAUAGAUCCUGUUCAUAAGAAAAUUUUGAGGACGAAAUUUCUUUAAAGGGGAGAGAGUGUGAGAACCUGUAAAUUUUUUUUAUCUCAUAAUAUUUUAUUUAUUUUUCUUGCAUGCAUUUUCUUCAUGAAACCCUAUUAUAUUGCUUUUUUCGAGAUUUUAUAAGUAAAUAUAGUUUUUAAAUCAUUUUUCUAGUAUAAGUUAGUUCAUGAGAAAUAAAGAGUGUAUAUUGGACGUGGGACCCGCUAGUGGCGUUAAGUGCGAUAAAUUCGGUCAAUUUGGUUAAAUUUUGCAUAAAGGGAUUUAAUUAUUAGGUGUUACGAGAUAAUUAGAGGAUACUUAGAUGGAUUAACCAUGGGGAGACAAGAAAAUAACUUCAAGCAACAACAAAGUGCCAAGUGUCGCAACCUAGUCAAAGUUGACUUGCCUAACUUUUCUUUAACUUUACUAAAACUCCAAUUUUGAUCCCAAUCAUCUUCAUUUCAUCAACCCCUUGGCCGAACUCCACCUUGAGAGAAAAGAAAAGAAAGCUUCAACUAUAUCUUCCAUUUCUUGCACAAAUCUUAAAAUCUAACCGAUUAAACCUUGAAUUAGUCCACAAAAAAGACUUUUUAAGGGAGUUUGAAGGAUUUGGUGGAGUUAUUUUGGAAGAAAAACCCCUAAACUACUACCUUUCUUGAGGAGUUACGGUAUUUUGCUUGGAACUCACUCUUUGUUCCUAAUAAUGGUCAAUUGGUGACUUAUGGUAGCUAAUUAGGUGAUUUUAUGGAAGAUUUCAUGGAUUAAAGUGGAGUUAGCUAAAUUUCUGAUUUUUUUGAAAAUUUUUCUGUUUUCAUAUGAUGGUUAUGGUUGGCCUUGAAUUGAUGGAUCUAAAUUGUGUUAAAUGGAUCCCUUGAGCGCUAAUUGCGAUUGUUUGCGGAAAAAUUUCGAUUUUGUACGAAAAUUCUAGUUUUAGGGUUCCAAUUUGCCAUGUUCUGUCCGGUUCUGUUUGACCAUGUUAGAGGACGAAUUAGGCUUAGCACAAAACAUAAAAGUUGUAGGAAAUGAUGUUUUAUAGCUACCUGUAAAAUUUCAGAUCGAUCGGAGUACCGUAGCAUUUGAAAUGACUGAAAUACCCUUGACUGCCCAUAAGCCCUAUUUUCGUGGAGAUUUCAAUUUUUGACUCUGAAAGUGCAUGAUUUAGCUUUGGAGACCUUCAUAAGAAAUGUAGGUAUAUGUCUUGGUUUCGAAACAUCAUAAGAUACGCCUCAAUCGGAUUUCGGUAGCCUGAGUUAUUGUCGUUUAAUCAUAGUACGGUUAACUAGUCUGAUUGUGAGAUUCUGGUUCUGUAAUUUAAAAUUUUGACCUAGAUACACUAUGGACUGGACUGAGUGGUCUUCAUCAAAGUUGUAGGCCUUUAUUUUAGCUUCAAAACGGUAUAAAUUGCACCCCAAUCCGAUAAGCGUAAUUUCAGUUGUGUCUGUUCCGCUAAGAGACGUCAAACCUGCUAUUUAGCUUUUGUCCUUAAAACUUGAUUUCUAGUUGCAUUCCUAGACUUGCUUUGUAUUUGGAUGAACUUGAGCCUAGUUGAAGGGUUAUUGUAUUGAGAUUUCUUAUGUGUUGAAUUGGAUUGACUUGAGAAAAAAAAAUGAAAUCAUAAAUGGCUGGAAUAUAGCAAAAUACAGAGGACAUGCUGCCCAAAGUUUUAGAGCUGCGCGAUUCCUUCAAAUUGAGUUGAUCUUAGUAAAAAUGAAAGGUUUUGAGGGUUGUUUGUAACCCUAGGACCAACUGUUAUCUUUUUACUCAAACGUCAUAUUUUUAUUCUUCUGUACUAGUACUUAACCUGGAAAGGCGUACGACAUGUAGUCUAGCCUCAUUUAUGCAUUCCAUUUACUGGAUUUGUGGAUGUGCAAACUAUAAUUGUUUUAUCUUGAUUAUUUUAGGGUUUCUUGGCGAUUAAAGCCACUUUGGAUAAAAAACUUUUGAAAUAUCUGUACUGGAACCGGUGAGUGUACCACUCCCCUCAUUUGUUACUUAAUUUGGUUUCUGCACCUGCAAUCUGCGAUUUAAAUGACUGUACUAUCUGUUUAUUCUAUUUGAGACGGGGGUAUACUUUAUCACACUCGUUCUCUUGUCUGUCCAUAUGCUUAUUUACUGUGUGUAAUUUGUUAUCUGUUUCUGAAUCUAUUCGGACGUCGUUUGGAGGCUGGUAUCCAACGACCUUUCUGUGACCUCUGAACUCAACACCUGUGGCUAGUUACUCGAGUCGGGCCGGCAAGGGUCUGGUCGAUUAGAUAACGAACCACGGUAGUCUGUUUCUGGAAAUCUUUGGGUAUUGAGACUCUUGAUUCCGGUAUACUCGAGUAUUACCACUUCUGUUUCUGUUGAGAUGUUCGGGCCCGGUAGGGGUAUAUUUGGUGGACGAAAAUUGGUGUAAAGUAGGGUCUAUGGAUAUGUUGGUUCUAUUUACGUUGAUGGAGAGUCAACGAGUUCGGAUCAAGAACUGUAAAUGGAAACCUGGCUCUUGAGAGCCACUUGUAUCAUUUCCCUUUGAAUUACUGUGUCUAACUGCUUUCUUUUAUAUCUGGUAUAUGUAUCUGAUUGGUUAAACGUGAAAGGUCAUGAUUUUACCCAUAUAUGUUUGGUAUCUCAUUGAGCGUAAACUCACCCUUUUCUGUUACCUUUGUUUUCCUUACAGGGGACAAACUUGAAAAUCACGGUUUUGGAAAAAAAAUGGUCAAGCUAGCAUAUAUGUCAUGUUGUUAAGCUCUUUUGAAAAUGAAACCCUAAUUGUAUUUUGUGUAGUAUGAAUACCUUGGAUUGCACUGUAUGUUAAGACUCCAAUGUAAAUAUAUGUAUAAGUGUUUAACCUUAUCUAUUAAAUAUAUUCCAUUGAGACUAUGAUUUUAUGGUUUGGUAAGCAUGUUCUCACCUUAGUAGUUUCCGAUUAUUCGUUUUCUUUGGGUCCUAUCGCGCGUCCUAUAUUGGGUUUGUGUGAAUCGACUCUGUUGUCCUGACGAGAGUUGGGCAAGCGGUCCGCCGAACCCUUCGAUUCGCCUUAGGGUGAGAUGGGGCUGUCACAUAAUUAUAGCCUAAUUUUGACAAGUUAAAUUUAAUCUCUCACCCUAACCUAAUUUCACAGAUAAGCAAAUCACAAUCAAUUUAUAGCUAUCUUCCUUCCAAGAUCAUCUUUUUCACAAAUUUUACAACUAAGAGGUAUUUAUUCAUACUAAUUUUUACUCAAAUAGUGAAAAUGUCUUUUGACGCGAAGAUCAACACUUCUCGGUGAAGAUCCCCGAUUACUCAACAUUUCACUUUUUCAGAUUGCUAUGCAUACUCUUAAUUCAAAUACCUUCUUAGGCGAGUGUCGACAUUUGUAGAUGCCAACCCCCGAUUACUUGGUAUAAGAAUCAUUGGAAUAGAACAAAAACUCUUAUCUUCUUUUUUUUUUUGAAAAUAAAAGACAAUAAAUAGACAUUCCCUCUUAGUAAAUACACAAGAAUAACCAAAGGAAGAUUAUAACUUUUGUUGACUAUAUCAAUCACUUGUAAAAUUAAAUAAAGAGGAGAAAUCUCAUCAACCAUGCAAAGUUAUAGGUAUAAUUCUCCCUACUUUACAGGAUAUACUUCUUAAAAUGCAAAAAUUUCAAUUGCAUAAUAACCAUUUCCAAGUCAAAUGAGGACUAAAUCUUCCAAACUAUAUAUAAAGUUUCAACAAGUAGAAGAACCACAAUGCUCAAGGUUGGAACAAAUUGGCCAUUGUUUAAAAUAAAGACAAAAAUUGCAAAAAGUUUUGGGCCAUAGUGAAAUAUUGAAAAAGAUUUUAGAAAAAUUUUGACAAAGUUUCCCCUUAUAACUGGAUGAAACUCACUACCAACAAACCAAUUUUUCAAGUUCAACAUGGCAAUAUUUUCAAUCACAAUUCCAACAUUUCUAAUGCAUUUAAAUCCACAAAAUAUCAUUGCAUGGCAUAAAAUAGCAAGCCAAUUAUUCCCCUCCUCCACACUUAACUUUCACAUUGUCCUUAAUGUGAGAAAGGAAAAAUAACGAAAGUAAGAGAAAGUUGUACUCCCCUAUUGAACUUGUGCUAUCCAAAUCCACAGCCAAGCAAUUAAUUUCCAACCUUAUUUGCAAGAAAGGAGAAUUCAAUUAAUACACCACUUCAAAAGGCAAAAUCAAAUAAAACAACUGAGUAAAAACUUGCAACGAUCAAGAAGUAAGCAUGCAAAUCAAGGGAAAAGGGGAAAGUAAUCAAGCAUGUGAAACCAUACAAUGUUCAGGGGAUAAAAACAUGAAAUGAGCUAAUUUUUGUGAAUCUAGUAUAUGCAUUAGUAUCCAAAGUAAAGGGAAGCUAAUUUCACAAAAUAAGUCCAUCAUCACAAACAAAAUAAGUUCCAUUUAUACAUUUUGUUAUCAAUGAUCAAGUCCCCUCAAGUACAAAAGUAAUCUCAAAAUGGAGGCAAACACACCAACCCAAAAUAUAAAUGACCUUCUUGAGAACUCAUGGAAUAAUAAAAACCAUUGAACCACAAAAAUUAUAAGUGCAUUUAUGAAUUUCGUCAAUUAAGGCCAUCUUCAAUUCGCCUCUUCUUUUAGAAUUACCUAAGAAUUCAAGAAAUCAUUCAACCAAGCACCUUUUCAUUCAUGAGGUAAUCUAAAUUACUCACAUGAAUAUCAUAAACUCCCACAAGCUAAUUAAAAUGCUACCUUGGCCAUUUCAUAUGCAACUUUGUCACCAAGUCAAAUUAAGCAUAAAAUUAGCUAAAAUUCACCAAAUGAAUACAAUAAACACACCCUCAAGAUUUAUUUAUCACUAACAAUCACCAAUAGCAUCAAUAAGCUCAAAUAAAUACACCAAGCUUCACAUAUGAAAAAUUGCCUAAAAAUAGAAAAUAUUCAACCAUGGCAAAAUUCAAAUGACAAUGUUAGGUGAAGAUUUGCUACAUCAAAGUGGUUUGGUGAUGUUUAGAGAUGAAAAUAAUGUGAAAAGCCCCCAAGAAACUCACUCCAAUUUGGCCUCAAUUGAAAGAGAUGAGAAGAUGAAACCUUAGCCUACUUGAAUCUUUAAUUCAAAUUUGGAGAUGUUUUUGAAAUAAUUAAACCAUGAAAACCACUCUAGAUGGUGUAGGGAGUAAUGUGGUGAAGUUUGUUUGAAGAUUAGAUAGUGAAAAGAGUGAUUUAGUGAGUAGUGUGUGUUUUGGGUGUGGGGGAGUUGAAGGAGGAAGAGAGGGAAGAAUGAGGAAAAGUGAACCGAGCCUUCAUUUUUGAAUUAUUUCUAAAAGGAUCCGAGGUCAGAUCGUGAUAAUUGAACUCGGAUAAAAAAAAACUCGAAAUCAUUCUCUGAUUGCAGAAGUAGAUUCGAGGUCUCGGAUCCAUUGAAUCUGCACUUAUUACAGAAUUUUCUGUAAUUUUCAAUUUGGCCCCAAUUUGAAACACACUCUCCAAUUUGUGCUCCAUAACAAAAUGUUCAACAAUUCAACACUUCACGUACAUGAAAAGUGACUUAAACAUGAAUCUUAACUCCUCAAAACAAAUCAAAAACAUGUAGAAUGCAAAUUGAGGGUUGAGGUUCUUGAAUCAAAAAGUCUCCCUGACACUUUCAAUGCACAUGAUAAUGCUCAAAUGGUUCAAAAGAAUGCAAAUAGAUCAAAACAUACUUAAUCACUUAAAUGCACUUCAAUUUCAUGCAAAUGACUGACUUAACCUCGUAUCAUGAAAUUAAGUAUUGUAAACUCAAAAAUAAAGAUUAAGCUUCCAUUUUUUACGUCGGUCUCCACUCCUUAUAAGCUCUUUUGCACUUGCAAUAAUUCGCAUGACUUCUUGUCAUUGCUACCUACAAAACACACAAAAAAAUACUAAUCAAAUAACUAAAACCUACUAAAAAACUAGAAAUUGUUGGGUUGCCUCCCAACAAGCGCUUCUUUAUAGUCAUCAGCUCAACUAUUUCACCUCACUUUUCAAGGAGGAUUUGUUAAAGAAUAAUCCACCAUUUUUGGACGUAGUGGAUCAUUAAAAGGUGGUUUAAGAAUAAAAACCACAUAAUCAAAUGAUAAGAGAGAUGGAAGAAACUUACCUAUCUUAAGUGAUUCAUAGAUUUUACCUUGAAUGUGUGUCACCUGAGUUCUUACCAAAGGAAUGUCCGCCGCAUGACCUUCUUGGGCAAUAAUACCUUUAAAACCUAUACUUCCAACAAAUUCCUCAAGAGGGGUGAAAAAUGAGGCACUAAUACUCAUCUCUUGAGGUUCAACGUUAGUUCCAAAGAUAUUAUCUUGUAAAAUGGACAUUUCCUCAUUGAAACUCAAAUUGAAUUCAUCAUUUUCAUCAAAAUGGAAUCCACUUUCACUUGCAACAUGCUCACCAUUCAUGCUAGGGUCAUAGUGCAUAUAAUUAGAAGAAAUAAUUUCACACAACUCAUGCAAUUGGUCUUGUAUUCUACCAAAGUGAGAAACUAAUUCAUCUAAUCUUUCCUCAAUCCUAGCAAAACAAUUGGAGGUUGCAUUAGCUAGCUUUUCUAUAACUAAAUCAAAUUGAUUAGAAAAUUUUUCUAUAGCUAGCUCCGAAGAUGCAUUAGAAUCAUUAGCUAAUGGUUCACAUUCUAAUUCCCAAGGUAAAGAUGCAUUAGCUAACUUUUCUAUUGCUAAUUCCCAAGAUGGCUUAGAUUCAUAUUAGACACAUUCGGAUUGGUAAUCAUAAAAAUAUGGAGAAUCACUAUAUGCAUAUUGAUUAUCCCAACCAUAAGUAUAAGAAUUACUCCAAUUAGGUCCAUUUUGAUCAAAUAAGGAUUGUAAUACCUCAAUUCAUCAUAAUAAUUCACAUUUUGUGCUUGCCUACAUAUAUAAGUUGUGAGAACCCGUAAAAUUCUUUAUAUUUUUCUUAAAAUUCCCUUUAAUUUGAAACUUAUUAGAAUUUAUUACUUUACAAUAACUUUAAUAUAUAUUCACUUCCCCAAUAGUUACAAAUAAUUAUUAAAACAAGGGUUUCCUGUUUAUUUUCAUCGUUACAAUAACUUAGGAUUUUUACGUCUUUUCGUAAUGUGAGUAACCGGUACGGAGUGUGUGCUAAAUUUGGUGAGUAAGAGUGAUUUUUAGAUGAGAAAAUAAUUUGGGAUUAGACGUAAUAAUAAAAAGUUAGUGAAUGAUAAGUAAAAACCCUAGUACGUGUGAUUUACGGAAAAACGGUGCGAACCGACGGGUACCGAUCAUUACCGAUUGAACACACCAUUUGACCACCAUUUUUAUCAAGUUAAUCUCCUUGAUAUUAGAGCUUAAAUAUCAGCUCAAAAUCUGAUCUUGAGGGCCGAAAUUUUAGACUUGAAAAACAAGAGAAAAGAAAAAAAAUUGAGAUACAAAUUGGUUGUGACAAGUGGUGGUCAUCCAUGGCUCGAUUGACCAACUAAUUUCCACCAUCUUUAUCACUAAAAAACUACUCAAAUGCUCUUCAUUUUCCUCCAUCUUAGCCGUGCUUCUUGAGAGAAAAACAAGAGAAGAAUAGCUUCCAUAAUUCUUAGGUUUUGCUUGAUUAAGAGAGAAAACAAGAAAACUACACCGAUUAACUUGUAAGUUGUGAGUUUGGGAAGCUUAGGGAGCCAAAUUUUUCAAGGAGAGGUGAAGUAUAACCAUUACAAUCUCUUGUUUUGAGGUAACAUGGCUGACCACUCUUUUCUUUUUCCCUUAAUCAUGUUGGGGUUGUUUAGUAACUUGUAUUUGUGCUUGUGAUGCUUAACUCAAGUGAUUUUGGAUGAUUGGGGUGAUGAAUUUGAGUUAGGGUUUGAAUGAUUUAUUUAUCAUACUUGUUGUAUGGAUGGUAUAUGAGGUGGUAGUGGUGGUUUUAAGUUAGAAAUGUGAAUUGUACUUUGACUUCCUAAAUUUCCAGAAUUUAAUUUUUUGCAUACCCUGUUCUGCCUGGUUCUAGUUCACCAUGAUAGAGGCCGAAUCAGGCUUGAUACAAAACAUGAAAGUUGUAGGGAAUGAUGUUUUAUAGUUUUCUACAAAAUUUCAUCUCAAUCAGAGUACUGUAGCUUGUGAAAAGAUAAAAAUACCUCUGACUGCCAUAGGUAGAGCCCUGUGGACAGUGUUGACCUUUCACCAAUCUGACCGCAUCUGUUCACCCUGGUCUGUACUGAAUUAGCAUUUGGUCAAAACAUAGAAGUUGUAGGCCUUUGUCUUAGCUUUUAAAUGGUAUAAAUUUCACCCCAAUCUAAUAAGCAUAACUUCGGUUGUGCCCGUUACGCUAAGUGACGGCAAAUCUGUCUUUUGUUUUAUGCCUUAAACUUCCUUUCCGAACAUUGUCCUAGCUUGAUUUUAUACUUGUACAACUUUGAGCCUAUUGAAUGGAUAUUGAACUGAGAUUAUUUUGUAUGUGACUUUGGGACUGAUUGAGAAAAACAAUGAAGCCAUAAAUGGCUGGAAAAUAGGUAAACACAAAGGGCGUGCUGCCCAAAUUUACGCCCGAGGACUAGAGAAAUAUACUUGCGACUUGUGUAAGGCUUGAGAGUGAUUAUCACUUGAAUUAUCUAGGAUGCUUGUGUUUUCAUUUAUCGAGAUAUAUAAGUUAGAACUUAGCCGAACUUGUACCCUUGGGAAAUGAUAUAACGACUUCUAGAAAUACGUUUUCCUUACACUUUCGACUCAAAUAGUAUUUCCCAGUAUACUUACUGCAAACUUUCGCAAUUUGAAAAGCGAGCAAGUGUUUCACGAAUAUUCUCCAAACGAAUGUCAAUUACUUGAUUCUUAUUGAACGAAACGUUUACGUUUCGAACCUUAAUCAUUUUCAAAGUUUUUAAACAAGAGUUUUAUCGCAGAUUUGGACUCCAUACCCGGAGUAUAACCCAGACGUGAUCACUAGGGACACUUCAUUUUGGUGAGUGCUUCCAAAUACCUGAUUGAACUAGACACUUGUUUCUAAUACGUGAUCAAUAUGAUUAAAUGAUAUAUGAUUGGUUUGAUUGGGCAAGAGUGUACUUUAUCGCACUUACCCUUAUGUGACAUAUACUUGUUUAUUGUUGCACUAGAUUUGAUAUACUUGUUUAUGAUGUGCACACUUCCUGGAAUUCCAGAAACCCUGUGGCGAGUUACUCGAGUCGAGCUGGCAAGGGCUUGGUCGAUUGGGUAACGAACCCUGGGUCUCUUGCUUUGUCAAGUGGAGUGAUAUCUCCUCGACUAAUCGGUAUACUCGAGUACUACCACCAAUGUUUAUUGAGGAUUUUGGGCCCAGUAGGGGGUUUGAAUGGUGGACGGAGAGUAGUGUAAGUGGUGCUCUACUGGAUUGGUUUCUUUACUUGAAAGUUGACGGAGUGUCAACUAUUACGUGAUCAAGCUCCUGGUGAUGCAACGGGAAUUUGGCUCCUGAGAGCCAUCCGUAUCCUUAUACCUUGAGAUGAUCGUUACGUGUAGUGUUAUUGUUUCUUUUAAAACUUUACACUCGCUUAUUUUGAGAUUGCUACUUGAAGUGUUAUUGCUUACUUUUAUGAACUCUUUAUGCUCGUUACUUUGCUACAUUGGAAACUUGUACUUAUAAAUAAUAGUCAAUUUGCUAUUUGGAACCUUACUGGGCUUUUAACUCAUUUCAUGCCAUUUGUUUUCCUUACAGGGGUACGAACGAGGCGUGAGACGUGUACAGACUAGCGUAGUCUAGUUGUUUUGACUUUUGUAAUUGUACUCACACUAGUCGCUCGAUUAGGGUUGAAUGUACUGAGAACUUAAAUCUUUUCAUGUAUUUGGGACUGUAUGGAUGGUUGAGAUAGAAAUGAAUGUAUUCGUAUGUUCCAAACUUGGGAACUAUUAUUUCGUUUAUUAUUGAGAUUGCAUCUUAUUUUAUUUGAUGUGAGUGAGUGAGUUCUUGCGAGAGUUGGGCAGGCGGUCCGCUAAAUCCUAGGGUACGCCCAAGGGAAGGUGGGGCCGUCAUAUAAGUAGCAUGAUCACCUCCACACAAGUCACAAAUCUCAUGAUAAGAAUUGAAAGUAUUAAAAUUCCUCUUUUGUUCAAGCAUAUUUGUAACAGUGUCCAAUUGAACUUUUAAUGUUAUAAAAUCGCAUUUAGCCUUUAAGCACCUCAAACCAUUAUCAAAUGACAUACCUUCAGUAAUUUCUUGAUUACCUCUAUCCAUGGACCUUUGCACGUAGUAGCCAUUCAUUGCCUAACUUUUAAUUCUCAUGCAUUGUUCUCCAAAUUGACCUACCCUCCUCAUUAUCUAAAAUUGCUUUUAAACAACUUAAAAGCAAGAUUAGUAAGAAGAAUAGGUGAUAAAAUACAUAUACACAUUACGCACAAAAAUAAAAGUAAAUAAAAUUCAAGACUAACUCAACAAACACACAACAAACUAGACUCAAUUAAUACACAAGAAAAACUAUUAAAAUGUUUAAACUAAUAAAGUUGUUCUUAGCACCGAUAUUAAGUAAAUUAUCCCCGACAACGAUGCCAAAAACUUGACAAGCACGGGGCAUACAUAUAUCAAUUAGUUCAUUCACAGUCAAGUUUUAUAUUUAUAAAAUUCUAAAUACCCCACACGUGAUUUUUCGUAAGUAUACGAGUCACGAUUGAAUAUAGGGUAUUAAGGGUCGAACCCAUAGGGAAGAUUGUCAAUUACCGAUAUUUUUAAAACUCCUUUAUUAUUUAGACUAUCACAAGUACUAGAUAUUAAAUCUAUACUAUAAACAUGAGAUAAAAAUAAUAAAAAUAACAACAGAAAACUCUUAGAGAUAUGGAAUUCCUUACUAUUCUUGCAAAUAAAAUUACUGGUUAAGUGAAAACUAUUAUUUUGGCUAAUUAUGGCGUAAUUUCCAAAUGUAUGUGAUACCCACUUUCGCCGGUGUACCAACUAUACCUAUACUUAAUUCACACCUACUUUCGUGGUUAAGAAUUUAGCUACAAGUUCAUUUCUUUUAUGAAAUUACAUGAAACAAGUCAUUAAAACUACAUAGGUGCACUUCUACUUUCGUGAGUGUACUCCCUAGGUUUAUCACUUCCUUGAACUAGUGCUAAAUUCCAAUUUUCAUUACAAACUUAACACAUUUAAGAUUAUUAAUGGUCAGUUAAUCAUGAUUAGAAAAGCAAAAGUGAUAAAUAACUUGUUCAAAAUAAUAUCAUCAAAUAACCAAGUAAAUAUCACUAACAAGAUAUAGAAAGUUCAUCCAUAUUCUAGGCAUAAACUUUAACUAAACAUAAUAGAAACACAAAGCCAAACUUACAUUACAACUAAACAUGAAAUCCAAUACAAGAGAGAAAGUAGUAGAAGAGAUAUCACCCUUGUCACAUUAGAUCAACCUCUCCAUCUUUGCUCCUCAAUCUUCAUCCAAAUCUAGCUACAAAUACAAGAAGGAUAAACUACACUAACUAUACUAAUCUACUCUAACUAAUGAACUAAGAAAAACUAGUGAAGACUACAUUUUUGGCGAUUUUCUUUAGCCUUCCAAAAGUUGCGAAAAUGUCCCCCAAGGCUGCUAUUUAUAGAGAAAUUCAAGAUCAAAAUGAGUUGUUAAAGUUGAUGUAAAUUGCUCCUUGGAAUCACCAAAAGAUGCUUCUUGAAUUCUCUAUACUUGCUUUCUCAAUUCUAGCUGGAUUUCUUGUAGAUAAAUUGGUCAAAAAGCUUGUGUGAACAGAGCACAAGUUGCAGAGCCGCAAUUGGGGAUCCUAGGUCGGAUCGCUCAAAAUACCUCUCAGAUCUCAUUUUUCUUCAUUUUUAUCUUUACUGCACAUUAGGAUCCAAGGCCUGUAGCAUGGGGAUCCGAGCUCGGACCCUCCUCUCGGAUGUAGCCUCUCAUUACAGAAAUUUAUCCGAGGUCAGGUUUAGUACAGAUCCAAACUUGGAUUUACUUGCUUUAUUUUUUGUCCAACUUUAACUGAUAUUUUCUUAAUAUAGAGGCUGAACUAACUCUUGUGUAAAACAUGAAAGUUGUAGCUCUUUGAGUUAGAUUUCCAAUGCAUCAAGAAUCAUCCAAUUUGGAUCUCUGUGGACUGAGAAAUUACCAAAAUACCCUUGACUGGUCAAGCCUCUGUUUCAGCUUUUGACAAUGAAAAUGCACUUCUAUAUUUUGACAUUUUGUCAAUGAAAACGACUGAACUGGACUUCGAUGUCUUCAUACCAAAUGUAGAUCUAUCUCUUGGCUUCAAAAUAGUUCAAGAAUAACCUCAAUCCGAUGCUUGUAACUCAAGAUAUAAUAGAAAUACCAGAAGAUGUCAAAGCUGUGAAACUUGAUUCCUUUUAUUCUUGAUUGCAUUUCCUCUUUUGCACUUCAUAUUCUCUUUUUUAUCACUUCAAACCAUCAUCAAUCAUACAAUUAUCUUCGCAAAUCACUCCAAUUGAUGAUUGAAUCCUUAAACUUAUAAAACAUAAAGUUUUCACCAUAAAAAUCUAUAGAAAUGCAAUUUUGCCACUUAAACCACAAAAUGCAUAUUUUCAGUAGAAAUCUAGCUAAUUAAUUAUAAAAUCAAAUAAAAAACACCAAAAAUAACUAACAAAACAUACUUAAAACAUGUAAACUAUGCACUUAUCAAAGUUACCACAAUUAUAAUUAGUAAGUUUAAUUCAAAUAAUAGUAAGUUUUUGUUAAAACAUGGUAACUUUUACAAAUAAAAUGGUAAUUUGGUAAGUUUUACAAAUUUACUACUUCAUUGCACAAACUUACCAAUAUAUUUGUGAAACUUACUUAAAACUAGGUUAGUAAAUUCUUUACAAUUAUAGCAAGUUUUGGAAGACAAAUAGAAAGUUUGUGCAUUAAAAAGGUAACUUAUAUGGAUGACUAAAACUUACUGCUUUAUUGUCCAAACUUACCAUUUUACUUGAAAAGCUUACAUACAACUACAUUAGUAAGUUUAAUGACGUCACUAGUAAGUUUUUGUGCGAUAAAUGGUAAAUUUGGCUAAUAAAAAGGUAAUUUUUGAAAUUUAUUUUUUUAUUGCACAAACUUACUAUUUUACUUGAAAAACUUACAUACAACUAAACUAGUAAGUUUAAUCAAAAUAAUAGUAAGUUUUGUUAGAUAAAUAGUCAGUUUUACUAAUAAAAAUGAAACUUUUGAAAUUUGCUACUUUGUUGGACAAACUUACUAAUUUAUCUCAGAAACUUACCUAUUGCUAAAGUGAGUAAGUUUGACAAAAAAAUAUAGUAAAAUUCAUUACAUAAAUGGUAAGAUUUAAUAUUAAAAAGUAAAUUUGUUAAAUACUUAAAAUUUACUAUUUUACAAGACAAUUUUAUCGAUUUAGUUGGAAAGUUUCAUGUACAACUGGAUGCAUUAUUUAAUUCACCAAAAAAGGGACGCAAAAAGCUAUAAACUAUCACAAAAGGGAAAGAAAAUUGGAUGUCCAGCUCAACUGCUAUUAUUUUAUAUUAACUCACCUAAUGAUAUCGGUACCACAACACUAUCCAUUAUUUCAUAUAAUUGGGAUUAACAAUUCUUGAGGAGUGUGGCCCAACAUGAUUGUGCACUUAAAAAAAUUUAGUUGGUUUUUGGAGUAAGACAACCAGUUAUUUUUGUGAUUGUCAUGCCUACAAAUUAAGUGAAUAAUAUGCUAAAUCAAUUAGUUAGUUGGGAAGCUUGAUUAAUUACUUAGUAAGCAAUUCAAAAUAAUGAGAUAGUUGGCAAGAGAAAUCUUCUCUAUGUAUCUAGAAGGUUGGAAAUUAAGAAGGUUAUUGGUAAGUGUGACUAGAAAUCUUGUCUAUAUAUUUAGAAUGAUCAUUUACAACUGUAAAUUGACCUUGUACACUCCAAUGUAAUAUAUGAGUGAAAGAAAGAAACAAUUGAAACUAGUUUUGUCUCAAAUAUUCUUCUCAAUUCUUGACCUAAUAUUCAACAAAAUUAGUAUUAGAGCUAGGUUUCACAGCCUUAGUUCAAGCCCUAAAACCAGAAAAAUUUGAGAGAUUUCCAAUUAUACAAGAUGGCCGAUCAUACUAGUAAUGGUCUUCCAAUUCCCAUAUUCUCCGGUGAGCACUAUGAUCAUUGGUACGUGAAAAUGAGAAUAAUUUCCAGAUCACAAGAGUUGUGAGAAUAUGUACAGAGAACCAGAAAAUGAAGAAGGUCUCACCAAUCAAGAAUUAAGGGUACUCAAUGAGCAUAGGAAGAAGGAUGCAAAAGUUCUUUCACACAUCCAACAAAGUGUGAGUCUAGAUUUCUUUUCAAGAAUUAUGGGAGCCAAUGAUGUCAAGAAAGUAUGAAAGAUUCUACAAAAGGAGUUUUAAGAGAAUCUCAAGUUAAAGAAUGUUACUCAUUAGACUCUUAGAAAAGAUCUUGAAAAUUUGAAGAUGAGAGAUGAUGAAAGUAUUCAAAAUUACUACACAAAAAUCACAACAAUUUUAAAUGAAAUGAAAAUUUUUGGUGAAGAAAUUAGUGAUAGCAGAAUUGUUGAAAAGAUUCUUGUUAGUUUGCCUCCAAAAUUUGAUCCAAUGGUGUCCAUAAUUCAGGAGACGAAAGAUAUUUCCUCAAUGAGUGUUUAAGAGUUGAUGGGAUCUUUGAAAACUCAUGAGAAAAGGUUGGCUAGACAUGUUAAAAAAUCUAUUGAACAUGCUUUCCAAUCAAAAUUGAAUUUCAAGCCCUAGACCAAUGAACGAGAGCCAUCUCGCAACUCACAAAGAAGCAGUAGAUAUGGCCAUGGAAGAGGAAGAUGUAGAAAUUCAACACGAAGAGAAAGAAACAACCUUCAAGAGGCCUUAAUGCUGAAAAUGCACAGCCUUGCAACUAUUGUGUAAGAUCAUUCAUCUUGAGAAAGAUUGUUCGCACAAAAACAAGUUAAAGUAUACUAUUGCAAGAGAUUUGGCCAUAUUGAGAAAGAUUGCAGAUUUAAUACGGAUCACCAAGCAAAUUUUCAGAAGACAAGCAAGAAAAAAGAAACUUAUUCUAUACAUGUCACAUGGCCACCGAAGUAAAGAACAAUGUGUCGUAUCUUGACAUCGUCUGUAGCAAUCAUAUGACAAGAGAUAAAUCCAUUUUUGUUGACUUGGGUGAAUUCAUAAAGACUGAUGUGAAGAUGGGAAAUGGAGUCAUAACCCAAGCACAAGAAUUGGGUACAUUUGGUGUCCAAACCAAACAAGGUACGAAGUUCAUUCAUGAUUUUUAUUUAUUCCUGAUUUAGAUAAAAAAUUAUUGAGUCUUGGAUAGUUUGAUUUACAUAAAUAUGCAUUUAACUUUGAUGAUUAUGAGUGCUGCAUCUAUGACAAAAUGGAUGGUAGACAACUUGUGACGAAAAUUCAAAUGCUAGCCAACCGAAGUUUUCCAAUCAAAUUCAAUUAUAGUGAAAAUCAAGCCUUAAAAGCAUAUGUCAAUGGAGAUUCAUGAUUAUGGCCCAAGAGACUUGGCCAUUUGAAUUUUCAUGGUCUCAAAGUGCUUCAAUAAAAGAGAUGGCAUAUGACUUACCAAGAAUUGAGGAGAAACAUGAAAUUUGUGAAGGUUGUGAAUUUGGCAAACAACACCGGCAACCAUUUCCUAAAGAAGUUGCAUAGUGAGCCAAAAAGAUUUUGGAGCUGGUUCAUACGGAUAUUUGUGGACCUAUGAAGACAACUUCUCAUGGAGGUAACAAAUAUUUCGUCCUUUUCAGUGAUGAUUUUUCAAGAAUGACUUGGGUCUAUUUCAUGAAAAAAAGAAUCUGAGGUGUUUACAACUUUUAAGAAGUUCAAAAGCAUUGUUGAAAAUAGAGUGGCUGUUACAUCAAGAAGUUGAGGAGUGAUCGUGAAUAGAAGUACACCUCAAAUGCAUUUCAAGAAUUUUGAGAAGAUAAAGACUUAAAAAGGCAGCUGACUGUUGGCUACACACCAUAACAAAAUGGAGUCUUGGAAAGAAAGAACCAAGCCGUGAUGGUGAUGGCAAAAUCUAUGUUACAUGACAAAGGCUUGGUAAAAGAAUAUUUGCUCAAUCGAAAUCCUACAGAGGCUGAAUGGAAUCAAACACUAAUUGAAACAUGGAGUGGAAGGAAACCAUUGGUGAAACACUCAGAAAGUCUUUGGAAGUAUUUGCUAUGCUCAAAUUCCAAAAGAAAAGGGGUUCAAGAUUGAGGAAGUAAGUGAAAGUAUUUUUGCUGGUUAUAACUCCAAGUCUAAAGGCUAUAGAUUGUUUAAUUUGAAAACUAACAAAAGCAUCAUUAGUCAAGAUGUUGUAUCUGAUGAAAAUGCUGCUUGGAAUUGGAAUGAGAAAAAGAUUCUGAAGCAUGCUAUUUAUCAUCAUGAAGAAGAUGCAAAUUCAACAAAUGACGAGAAAAUGGUGAUGAUUCAAAACCAACAAGUAAUCCACUAUCAUCUCCAAGUUAAAGUUCGAGUUCUCCGAUCUCAACUCUAAAGAAAAUGAGGAGUUUGAGCGAUGUUUAUGCAAGAUGCAAUUUUUGCAUCCUUGAGCCGGAAAAUUCUGAAGAAGCAUAUGCAGAAAAGGAUUGGAGAAAGGCAAUGAAAGAUGACAUUUAUGCAAUUGAGAAGAACAAGACUUGGAAACUAGUUGAAAAAUCUCAAGACAAGGAGAUCAUUGGUGUCAAGUGGAAUUACAAAGUCAAACUAAAUUUGGAUGGUUCAAUCCAAAAAAAGAAGGUAAGACUUGUUGCUAAGGGUUAUUCACAGCAGCACUAGUUGCAAGAUUUGGCACAAUUAUAGUUCUUAUUGCCAUGGCAACCUGAAAAGGUUGGAAUCUCUACCAACUUGAUAUUAAAUCUACCUUUUUGAAUGCAGAAUUGAAGGAAGAAGUGUAUGUUCAACAACCUCAAGACUUUAUCAAAGAAGGACAAGAAGACAAAGUAUAUAAGUUGAAGAAAGUGUUGUAUGGAGUGAAACAAGUUCCAAGGGUUUGGUAUUGCCAAAUUGAUCCUUAUUUCAAGGAGCGAGGAUUCAAGAAGAGUAAAAGUGAGCCAACCUUGUAUGUGAAAACCCAAGGUAAUUCAAUCAUUCUCAUUGUUGUUUUAUAUGUUGAUGAUUUGCUUUACACCAGUAGCAAUGAAAAGAUGAUUGCUGAUUUUAAAAAAGACGUAAUGAAAAGAUAUGAAAUAAAUGAUAUGGGAUUGUUACAUCAUUUUCUUGGCAUGGAGAUUUGUCAAUAUGAUGAUGGAGCCUUUAUUUGUCAAAAGAAAUAUGUUGAAAAUAUUCCUGUGAAAUUUUGCAUGGCAUGGCUGAUUGUAAACCUAUGGCCACAUCACUUGUCGUAAGCGAAAAAUUUGUCAAAGAAGAUGGUGAAAAAAAAAUGAUUUCACUUUGUAUAGAAGUUUGGUGGGAAAUUUGCUUUAUCUCACAGCUACAAGGCCAGAUAUCAUGUUUGCUUCAAGUUUAUUGUCAAGGUUUAUGCACAAUCCUAGUCAAUUACAUUUUGGAGCAGCCAAAAGUGUGUUAAGAUACAUCAAAAGCACACUAAACUACAGCAUUAAAUUUAGCAAAUGCGAUACUUUAAAUUUGCAUGGUUAUUAUGAUAGUGAUUGGGGUGGAUGCCUUGAUGAUAUGAAGAGCACCUUAGGCUAUUUUUUUCGUUUGGUUCUGGAGUAUUUUCUUGGGCAUUAAAGAAGCAACAAAGUAUGGCACAAUUAUCCACUGAAGCUGAAUGUGUGUCCACAAGUUUGGCAACAGCACAAGUCAUUUGGCAUAGGAGAAUUUUGAAGACAUUGGUGAGAAGCAAAAGGAAGCUACGGUAAUAUUCUAUGACAACAAAUCAACAACUGACAUUGCCAGAAAUCCAAUUUAUCAUAGCAGAACUUGCCAUAUUGCUAUCAAGUACCAUUUUAUUCGAUAUGCAAUUGAAGAUGGUGAAAUUGAGUUGAAAUUUUGCAAGAGUGAAAACUAAGUUGCAGACAUCUUUACCAAGGCACUUCCAAAAAACAAGUUCAACUAUUUUCGAGAGGUGCUUGGAGUUCGAGAACAGCACAUUAAGAAGGGAAUAUGUUAAAUAAUUUGCUGAAUGAAUUCAUUAGUUGGGAAGCUUGAUUAAUUACUUAGUAAGCAAUUCAAAUUAAUGAGAUAGUAGGCAAGAGAAAUCUUCUCUAUGUAUCUAAAAGGUUGGAAAUUAAGAAGGUUGUUGGUCAAUGCGGUUGGAAAUCUUCUCUAUGCAUUUGGAAUGAUUAUUUACAACUAUAAAUUGAUGUUGUAUGGCCCCAAUGCAAUAUACGAGUGAAAGAAAUGAAAGAAAGAAACAAUUGAAACUAGUCUUGUUUCCAAAUAUUCUUAUCAAUUCUUGGCCUAAUAUCCAACAAAUCACCAUUUGUUAGAGUGUUAUUUUGGUGGACACAGAUUAAUCCAUGAAUUGAUUAUAGCAAAAAAAAAUCAUGGACAAAAGAAAUCUGUGGAACUUCUGAUCGUCUAUAUCAAAAAGUGAUCUUAUUUCUUGGAGAGUAGGUUUUGCAGGAGCGAUCAACUCUGCUUCCUUGUGUCUCACUAAAAAUUGCAUUGCCAACUAGGAAGGGGGUUUUGGGUGUUGGGCGGAUCACAAGGGCUGGGGGACGUUAGUAUUGCAAAAUAAUUGAAACUUUUGUGGGUUUGGUACUACUAAGGUUCCGUUUGAUAAAAUUGAAUCUGAAUUCUGAAAUCUGAAUACUGAAACAAUUAAUUUACUGAAUUUUAAGCACUGAAAAGAAAUAUAUGAAUGUCUGAAUUUUAAUGCUGAACCUAUUUAUACUGUUUGAUAAACAUUUAUACUUUAUGCUUAAUAAGUUAAAUUUAACAAUUUCGCCCUUAUAUCUUUUCAUCCAAAAAAGAAAUAGAACCUAUGAUUUAAUUAGCUUAAAAUUUUUAGGCAUGAAAAUGACAAUAUUUAUUUUUAAAUCAAAUUAAUAUAAAAGAUGAAAUAUAUUAUAUGAUGAGUAUGGAGAAGAUAUGAAAGUCAUUAGAAAGGUAGAAAAGAUAAAUAGAAAAUCAUUAGAUAGAGAAUAUUAAGUUGUUUAAUUAGAUAAGAAUUUUGAAUAUAAUUAAUAAACAAGGGUAGAUUUGGUAGAUAAGAUAAGGUGGUUGAAGUAAUUUUAUUGAUUCUUAUCAGAAUUAAGCAUUCAGUUAGGAUUCUUGUGCUGAAAAAAAUACACACAAGUUCAGCACUACUUAACAAAUUCAGCAAAUGUAUUUUCAUUUAUUGAACACUCAAAACAUCUGAAUGUCUGAAAAAAAUUCAGAUUCAGCACUUUUUUAUGUUAUCAAACAGACCCUAAGUCUUGUCAUGUCUUCUCAUAUUCGUACAAAUUUCAAGUGACGGAAGGAAAAUGUACUCUGAAUCCUCUAUCUCAUUUCCGGUUUCAGUCUCUGUCUGACCUUUAUUUUCUUGCCAUUCCUGAGUAUAUUACCCGGUAUAUCCAUUAUAUACUAGAAUAGAGUUGCAAGAGAAAAUUAAACAUGAUAAAAAAAAUCAAGAUAGAGAUUAAAACAAAAAAUCGAACAAUAGAAAAGUGGGGUGACAACCGAAACCAAAAAUGAGAUAGAGCAUUCAAAACUAGGAAAUGGCGCCUGCCCUAUUACUAGUUCUACAUGAGGACUAUGUGCCACGAAUUUCAGCCUAUAGCAAGGGACUAGACAAGAGAACCUAACAGUACUGAUAAUUCACGAUCAUGGCUGGCUGAAAUAUCUUACCAUUAAACACGUUGUCUUGUAAUCUUACGAAUAGUAUGUAUGUUUUGGUGCGAUGCAAUGGUUUGGCAAACCAAAUUUAGACGCAAAAUGUCAGAAUUAAACUCUUUAUGUUUUCAACCAUAAUGGAAAUUGUUGCCAAAUCUUUUAAAACAACUACAUCGAGGACGAAGUGCAGCACUAAUGAAGCUUCUGAAGGCAGCUAAGCCAUCAGUCUACUUAUCCUAAAAGGGCUAAGUAUAUCUUUUUUCCAUCUCAUUGUUGAUGUCACAUUUUUACAUUUUCUAUUGCUUCAAAAAAAGAGUCAUUUCUCCAAAGUCAAAAAAGGUUUUAGUUGAUUCUUAAAUUUUCCAUUCAAAAAAGUAACUUUUCGGAAUUUAAGAAGCAAGGAGGGGGAAGGGAGAUCUACUUUGAAUUAAUUGAUCACAAUUUUCUAUUUAUUUAAAUUCCCAAAUACCACUAUUAUUUCGUGAUGGUAAAAACAAAUGUCCCAUAUGAAAUUACUACUUUGGACGACCUAUACCUAAAAGCCAAUGAAGUUAAACAUUCUCUUUGAAAUAGUCAGUGUUUUCUUUUUCUUUUUUUUUUAAAAAAAAAAUCCCAUAUGCAGGGAAAGGAUGCCACCUCUUAACUUUAUUAGUGACAAUCAUUAGAGAAAAAAAAAAGAGGGACAUAGACCUUACAUCCAGUACAUCAAAGAGACGAGAAUAGAAAUAAGAGCACUAUUCUUUUGCAAUAAAUGAAUGAAGAGUUGGUAAACCAGUAAUAGCUAGUUGAAUGACCAAUACUAAGCCAUUGUUGACCUUUGAUGUCACAAAAAUAUCGUAAAUAAGUAACACGUUAUUUUUAUUAUCAGAUAGACCACUAUUUAUCCUAUGAAUCUAUGCUUAGUUGAUCAGUAGUGGUAUUAAGCACUUUAGUUCAUCAUUAAUAGAAAUAAUUUAGAAGUUUGGACAAUAACAUGAGUAUAUGUUAAACAAAAUUAUUUUACAACUACAACAAAUGCAAAAGAAAAUAAGAAAAUUGCAUUGUAUUAAACAUGAAAAAUAAAGGAAGAAAUGAAAAGAAACUAACUUCGACAAAAGCAUGAACUUUUUUACCUCUCUCUCUUUUUCAAGUGUAAGUGGAUGGUGUCAAAUUCGAUAUCUCUCACUUACACUUCCUCUCUUGUACCACCCAACUCAUCCUAACCCCGAUAAGAGUAUGACCUUGUAAUAAUGUAAAGGGCCAAAAACCUUAGCGACCAUCAAACUAUUGCUUGCAUCGACUUUUGAACAUAAAAUAAUUUUUCAUCACAAAUUAGCCGCUAAACUAAAUAAUUAGUACACUCGUGGCCAUUUCAUUGAUUAUUGCUCUUAAUCUACAAAAUACUUAGAACAUGUGUUCAAAUGCUAGGGCAUAUUGGUCCACUAUGGAUAUUUUUGUUAAAACACGGUUUGAUUAUUUUGUAGAUUAAGAGCAAUAAUCGACGAAAUGAUCACAAAUGUGUGGGCUAUUUAGUUUAAUCAUUAAUUUGUGAUGAAAAAUUAUUUGAUGGUUAAAAGUUUAUGCAGGUAAUAGUUUAAUGGCUGUUGAGAUUUUUUGCUCUAAUUUGAAGAUAAUCAGAACUUGUGAAUUUAUGAGUAAAAAAAUUGAAAAGUCAUAUUAAAGUUAGUAUACAAUAUAAAUUGUUUAAUUUUAACAAUAACUUAAUGGAUAAAAAUAAUGAAAUCUAGCAAGAGAUAUUUUAGAAUUUCUGAGCAAAUUAAAAUUAAACUGUAAAUUUUAAAAAUUGAGAUGACACAAAACUCAUAUUGCAUAAUAUGGGAAUUUUUUAAUCCAAAAAGAGAGCACGAGGGUUAACUAGAAAGAGUGAAAAAAUAGUUGUACAGCUUGCAUCCGAUAAUGUUAGAUGAUGUCGACCCAUUUUUUGACUUAAAAGCCAGACAGUUCAACCAGAUGAUCCAGUCUGAGUUUUAGAACAUUGCAAAUUAGUUACCGGUUGAAAAUGAUUCCAUUCUGUAGAGGCUAUCUCUCUUUCUUUCGAACACUCUCUAUUCCCAUUUAAGAAUUAGAGUCACCGUUGAAGUGGAAAAAUUUUCGCCAUGGUCAUCACCAGAAAUUAGUAAUUGGCCAAAAUCUGCGACAUAGUUACGCUGUUUAUGAUCAAGAUUUAGUUAAUGGUGCACUCAAAGUAUAAAUAUGUUUGAAAGUUUCAGUUUUAUGUUGAAUGUUGAACUAUUAAAAGGUAUUAUAAUGUAUCAUUGUCAGUGUGCUAGAUAUCAACUAGUAUUAUAACGUAUCACUUCUAUCUGUUUAAUCAGUUUCGGAGAUUAAAACACUUAUAUUAGGAGGUUUAUGCAUUUCGUUAGGCUGUAAUGAACCUUAGUGCAUUUUUUAAUUACAUCCCAGUGUGUGAGCCUUACUAAGCUGUUAACCGUAAUUAUAUCAUGUGGAUCAAUGUUUAUAUAGCAAUUCUCAAAAAUAUAGAAAUAAUAAGCAUCUCACUUAUGGAACCUAUUAAUGAAUAGGCAAUAUAGUUGAGAGACUAUUGGCAUGUGAAAUGGACUAGUUUUAAUUUUUUUGGGAAAAUCGUCAAUUUAGUCUCUUAACUUUGUCACUAAUACCGAUUUGAUCCUUCAAAGUUUUUUUAUAUGCAAUUGCUCCUUAUAGAAAAAUGCCUGUGCCAAUAAAGGACCUAUUAGGCAGCACCACCCAAAACAUCUUUUUUUAUCGCCUAGACGGGAGGCCAUUUAGGGGCAUUUUAGGAAGAAGAUAUUGGGGCCUUUUUACUGACGAGAUACCAGAAAAACAGCACCAUUAAAUCUAUGUUUUUAUAUUCGGACCGGGUAUCGACUCGAUCAAGCUCAGGGGUUAGGAGUCAAUGGGUUCGAUCGGGGUCAAUCAGGGUUGAACCGGAUGACGUCAUAAAUAAAAAUUAUUUAAAAAUUAAAAUAUUAUAUGUAAAAUACCUAAGAACGUGUUAAUAUUAAUAAAGAUAUAUUCAUAUAUAUUGAUGUUUCAAAUAUAUUUAACAAAAAAAUAUAAAGAAAUUAAAACAAUCAAGUAGCAAUUUAUAUUAUUUAAUGAACUUUAACAAGUUUAGAAUUAAAAUUAUGAAUUUAAUUGAAAAAUAACACCAAACUUUAAGACAACAUUUAUAAAGUAUGAAAUAUUUAGGUAUAUUAAUAAUUUUUAAUAACCCAGGAGUCAAAACAUAAUAUUAAAAAUACUUUGACUUUUAAAAAAAAACCCGAUUCUCUGAUUUUUUUCUGAUCAAACCCGGUUUUUGACCUGAUUUGAUUGAAUUUUAAUUUUUCGAUUUUUAAGAUUAACUCGGAUCGAACAGUUGGCCGAUUCCCUAUUCGAUCGGUCGAACCGGCAGCUCUAGCCCGAGUUUAAAAACAGAGCAUUAAAUGGAGAAAAUGCCUAGUGGGCCAUAAGAGAGUUGACGUUAUGCUGGUUGCUAUUGAAGAUUUAGGCAAUGCAAAAACCUUUCGGGCGGUUGCAGAAGACGGCGCCAUUCUAGACGAAGGACGUAUGGGCCAAGGAACUUCCAACGAAUAUUAAAUGGCGAGACCCAAUUCUGAAAGUGAUGAGGGGAUCAUACUUGGCUUUCAAGUUUUGAAGGAUGGAUUCUAAUUUUGAAAAGGACUUGCCGAGCUAUGAGAUGUUGCCGAUGAUUGGGAUGGUGGAGGGUCUUGGAGGGAGCUUCUCUUUGGUGUUGUUAGAGGAGGAGGAGGAAUAGGGGGAUACCAUAUUAAAGAGGGAUUUAAGAAUUGCAGAGAUGCAGAGGGAGAUGACGAUGAUAAACAAAUACUUCUCCAUUGUUUUUCCGCCACCAAUACCAGUUCAAGAUUUAAGAUUAGAAUUGGGACAACUUUCUAGUGGUCUGUUUUAUUAGUCUUGUCGUUGAGCGGAGGACAAGACAAAUGGAAAUAGACACCAACGGAAAAUUGUAGCAUCCAGUCCAAUGGCUCUAAUCAAUUCUCUGGCCUAGAGAACAUGAUUAUGCCUAGAGAACAUGACAGUAACUGGACUGAGAUUCCUAACAGCAAUGACGUGACCAACAUAACAAUGCAACAAGCUCAAAACAGAAUUUCGCCUACUAAAACUACCAUACCUCAGUCCUCAUGUUAAAUUUUACGAUGAGUUUGGCCCUCUCUUCUCUCUAAAGCCAACAAUGGUAGAGACAAAGCGGCAGUUGUAUUGCAUACGUUUGUAGGCACGGCGGUGGGGCUUCUUCUUAUCUUGCUUUGCGACCUUGGGAGUUUGACCUCUCACCUUAACGACACAAGCUAAUGAACCGCAAACCUUACUCAUGAUUAGCUAUUGAGUUUGAGCUGUUGAGAGAUCUACUUGGAACUGCUGAUACUGCAAUAAGCAAAAAGAGCAAGGACCGUUUAAUGGUGCUUUUUUAUUAUUAUUAUUAUUAUUGGUAUCUCAUCACUGCAAGGGCCCCAAUAUCUUCUUCCGAAAAUGCCCUAAAUUGCUGCUGGUCUGGAUGAGAAAAAAGAUGUUUGGGGUGGCGCUGCCUAUUAGGUCCUUUAUUAGCAUAGACAUGUUACUUUAAGGACCAAUUCCAUAUGCAAAAACUUUGAAAGAUCAAAUCCGCGUUAGUGAAAAGGUUUAGGAACUAAAUUAGCGAUUUUCUCAUUCUUUUUCUACAGAUGAACAAAAACCAUAUGACUUCCUUUAUGACUUCCUAGAAACAUAGGCUAGGAAUUUAUUAGCACAUGGUAACUUUACUUUUACACUUCGACAUACAUUUCACCAAAGCAAAAGAAAACUACUUUCUUGGUUCCCCACAAAUCCACUAAAGAUACAGCUUCACUAAAAACAAUACAGACUAUACUCUCCUUAAAAGUUAUUCUUGUACCAGAAAACGCCCUUGCCGCCUUCAUCUGGCUCAACAUAAAGACACUCUUUUGCCUCCCUCCACAUUGCUUUGUAGACGGGAGUGCCAUCAAAUUGGUAAUACUCUCCCAGAAUUGGCUUCAUUGCUUCAGUUGCCUCCACUGCAUUAUAAUGUGGCAUUGCUGAAAAGAGAUGAUGAGCCACAUGUGUGUUUGUGAUGUUAUGGAAGACCUUGUUCAAGACACCAUAAUCUCUAUCAAUGGUUGCCAGCGCGCCCCUCAGCCAAUCCCACUCUGACGAAUCAUAGUGCGGCAAUGAAGGGUGAGUGUGGUGCAGAUACGUGAUGAAAACAAUGAUGCCAUUUAGAAUGAGCCACGGUAGCCCGUAGAUGCAUAUAAGCCAGGCUAGCCCUUUUGCCAAUGCUACCCGAUAAAGCAGGUGAGUUGUUACAAUGACACCAACAUCGGAAAUGUAGAUUUGAAGCCUCUCACGAGCAUUAUAGAUUGGACUAUAAGGAUCAUAAUGGCACGCAAAACGAUCAUAUUGUCUGCCUGAAGCAUUGACGGCCAGGUACAAGGGCCAACCCAGCACAAGGGUGAUCGCCAGAGUGAUGACUCUGCCUGGAGGGUUGUUUAGGUACUUGUAGUACCACUCUAUUUCGGACUUUGGCUUCGGCACAAAGACUUCGUCAUGUUCGAUUGAUCCAAUGUUGGAGUGGUGGCGGCGGUGGCUGUGUUUCCACGAGAAGUAGGGGACCAUAAGUGCAGAAUGGAAGAUAAAACCAACGGUGUCAUCCACCCAUUGGUAGUCGCUGAAUGCAUGGUGACCGCAUUCGUGGGCAAUGACCCAAACUCCAAGGAAAACACAGCCCUGAAGAAUCCAGUAAAUAGGCCAGGCAAGGUAGUUGUAUGGAGAAGGAAGGAGAUGGAAAUAAGUUGUAGCAAUGUAGUAGAACAGAAAGACCAAGGUAAGGUCACGAACAAGAUAGGAGAAUGAGCGAAGGAGCGAUCUCUUAAAGCCGUGAGGUGGGAUGGCUUUCAUGAUAUCACGGAUAUUGAACGGAGGCUUCGAGAAUGGGACUCGUUUGAUUGGGUUCUUCUUGCGUCCGGUCUUGGUUGUUGAAGCAAACAACCGGCCUCCGGCUCCCAUUUUUGGUACAAUGCUCUAUCUGUUUGACUCAAGCAGAUCACAUGGACAUUGUGGAUGAAUUUAUAGCAGAAAAGCCUAAAGAUUAAAUAUUUCUUAAGGAUAUUCUUUCUUAAUUAUAAUGGAAGUAAUUCUGUUAUAGUAGUGCAAAAAAAAAGGACACUUUUGAUGGUUUUGUACCUGCUAAGAGUCUUGUUAUGUUUUCUCAUAUUUAUACUAAUCUCGAAUGAAACAAGGAUGAAGUGCUCCAAAUCCUCUAUCCCAUUUCUGAUUUAAAUCUCCAUCUUACUCUCU
RNAcentral lists this long non-coding RNA (58713 nucleotides) under Coffea arabica (coffee). RNAcentral describes it as "long non-coding RNA (CARA_LNC000098)". Lineage: Eukaryota; Viridiplantae; Streptophyta; Magnoliopsida; Gentianales; Rubiaceae. The record is from RNAcentral.